Molecule: long non-coding RNA, 76152 nt
Filed under: Triticum aestivum (bread wheat)
Lineage: Eukaryota; Viridiplantae; Streptophyta; Magnoliopsida; Poales; Poaceae
Description: long non-coding RNA (TAES_LNC016649)
Source: RNAcentral
AGCAGCAUACACACACAUACACAUAACAGAACGGAGGAGAGGCGAAAGCAUCAACUGAAGGCAGUCACUCAGUGGCAACCAGCGGCCUGUUUCUGCGGUCUGAUCCAGUCGUGCAGCACCAUGGUCACCCUGUCGUGCUGCUUCACGGAGGAGCCGUGCAGGAGCGGGGCGGCGCCGGCGAGGAAGCGGUUGUAGUGGACGUACUCCUUGUGCCGGAACCUCUCCUGCUCGGGCGGCGUCAUCUCCUCCCACUCGGCGUGCAGCUUCUCCGACAGGCUCCAGUCGAUGUUGUACCUGGUGGCGCCGAAGCACGUCUGGCUCAGGACACGCCUCGCCAGGGUCUGCAGGUCGGGCACGCGAGCUCCGUGCGUCGACCACCAUUCAACUGCGAAUGUCGAGUGAAGCACGGUAAGAAGGUGCGACAUUCAUGUAGUAUGAUAUGAACGGAUGAAUGAAAUGGUGAUCAUCUCAGUGGGUGUAAAAUGUUUGGGUUUGAAAGUAGAAGUGAAAAUGGAAGAAGAGAAGGCUCCUGUACAGUUUAAGCAGACCAUAUACCCCAGUUUGCAACUUGCAACUAACUAAGCAACUAUGUUGAGAAUCUUAGGCUGAUGCAGAGAAGUUGGUCAUUCUACACGUCCAUCUGUAAACCUUUUAACUUCUCUACUACUCCCUCUGUCCCAUAAUGUAAGACGUUUUUGCAAGCACGUCUUACAUUAUGGAACGACAGGAGUAUUUAUUUAAACAACCAUGUCGACAAGUUAGGCUAAUGCAGAGGAGCUGAACUUUGAAUAGAAGUGCACUUAUGACAUGAUAUAUUUGUGCCAUAUUCACAUGCUAACUAAAUAUGUUGGCGCACUGUAUGUUACGGUGCACAAAUGCACAUAUCAGAUUUUCUGGAGGACAUCAGACACUAUUCCAGCUCACUCUAAAUAUUGGAAAAAAAAUCAAGUGCAUAUGAGAUAUAAAGGCACUACCGUCAGUGGUUUGUUAGGGAGUGGUCAUUUUGCAAGAGGUUAGGGUGUAGCUUACCUUGUGGUAAUUCCAUGAUUUGCUGCAUUGCUGGAUCUGUGUCGAAAUAGCCGAACUUCUUUUCAUACACUUCCAAUUGUGCAGACGCUUUUCUGGCAUUGUAAUGAGCCUUGCCCAGUUGGAUUGUGCAGGCCGCGAUGCCGCUGCUGAUCUCAGCAUCAGGCUGGAAUCCAGCUGUGUAAAAGAUCCUUGGGUUUAGCAUCUGACCAGCAGCAUGGAGAGGACUAUGCAAGUAACCAUCCCAUAUCCUGUCAAUCAUACACCAAUAAGAGUCACUUUCAUCUCCGAUAUUGAGAGAUAUCUCUUCUUUUGCUCGAUCCAUGGCUUCAUACAAGAUACCCAUCGGACAGAUAUCAGAUUCUAGUUUAUACAACACACUGACAAGUGGGUUUGUAACCUUCACGACUUCUGCAGCAGCAUGCCAGAAUGCAUCAUCUGUCUUUACUAUGCUCUGGAUACGCUCGAACAAAUCAAGACAAGUCCAACCAGAGGGAACCCAUUCAGGCGAGCUGAACAUCUGCACCAGACCUACUCUUGCAGAAACUAACCUCUCUAAUGUGAUGAACACUGCCACAAAUCUCAGAUAAGAACUGCUCAAAAUCUCCUCCUGAACAUAUCUUCCUUUCAGUUUCAUUGGCAGUGCAUGGCCAUAUAAAAACCAUGUAAUUUCCCUUGCCUUCAUUAGGACUUCACUGACAUGCUCGAGCACUGCUAUUUUCUCAAGCAGAAGGUUGAUGCAAUGAUCAGCACAUAGCACGAAGAAAAAACUGUCAUAUUUAUUUAGCACAUACUGCCGUGCCAUCUGCAUAUGGGGUGACACGUCAUUCAUGACAAUCUGAACAAUGUUAUGGGCACCAACAUCAUCAACCACGCGAGAAAGCAUUGAUUCUAGCUCAUCCAAGUCCUCAGUGAUUUCAGAGACGUCAAUGGAUCUGAGGAACAGCGUACCUUUGCUGCAGUGCACCAGGACACUUACGAAGCUUUUGUCACACUUGCUCUUCCAACUGUUGAGUAUAUUGUGUACGUGUAUAUAUGUGUGUAAGGCCCACCUCCUGUUUUUCCUGUAUAGUUGAGGUUGUGGCCCACCUCUGUACUUAUAUAUACGUGCCUGGUGCACCGAUCAAUACAUCGCGAUUGCACAGCCCAUAAUCUGUCUCUCCACAUGGUAUCAGUCGCAGUAAGGUCCUAACCCUAGCCGCCGCCGCCGCCGCCGCCGCCGCCGUCACUAGUCGCCGCCGCCGCCGCCAUACCCGAGGCCGCCGCCGCCGCUGCUAGUCACCGCCGCCGCACCCUGCCCGCCCCGCCNNNNNNNNNNNNNNNNNNNNNNNNNNNNNNNNNNNNNNNNNNNNNNNNNNNNNNNNNNNNNNNNNNNNNNNNNNNNNNNNGCCGCCGCCGCCUACUGUCCCAAGGCCGCCGCCGCCGCCGCUCUCUUCCCAACCCGCGCCACUCCCCACCCCGCGCCGCGCGCCCCCCUGUCACCCGCGCCGCGCCCUAACCCCACCACCGCCGCCACCAUGAGCUCCUCCUCCUCUACCGUCUCCAACCCGUUCGCCGGUCCCGACGUCACCCUCGUCCGCGAUCUCAACAUCCAUGAGCGCGUCCCGGUCAAGCUUGACCACACCACCGCCUCCUACUCCGCGUGGAAGCGGUAUUUUUCGCUCGUGUUCCGUGAGUACCUCCUUCACGGCCACGUGGACGGCACCGUGGACUCCGCGCUCAUGAUCCACGACGAGGAGUGGAUGCUCCUCGACGCCACCAUCAUCCGCUGGUUCUACCUCACCAUCUCCAGCGACAUCUUCCACACCGUGGUGAACGACGAGGACGACGCCCACGCAGUAUGGACCAAGCUCAACGGCCUCUUCACCGACAAUCGGCUGCAGCGCAAGGUCCUCCUCUAUGGUGAGUUUUACGGGUGCCAGCAACUUGACUCGUCCAUCGAUGAUUUUUGCAUGCGCCUCAAGAAGCUCGCCGAUGAGCUCCGUGAUCUGGGGGAGAAGAUUGGCGACGAGCUCCUCAUCAGCACCCUCUCCGGCGGCCUCAACGAGGACUUCGGGAACGCCGCCUCCAACCUCACCCUCAUCCCGGAGCCCACCUUUGGCAAGGUGGUCGCGUACCUCAAGCUGGAGGAACGCCGGAUGCGGGCGGCCCGGACGCGCGCCACCCACACGGCCCUUGUUGCCGGCACCCGCGGGGGUUCGGCCCCGCCGCAGCCUCGCCAGACGCCGCCCCCGCAGGCGACGACCGCCUUCCCGUCGGGCUUCCCGCCUGCCCCACCAGCCCCCUUNNNNNNNNNNNNNNNNNNNNNNNNNNNNNNNNNNNNNNNNNNNNNNNNNNNNNNNNNNNNNNNNNNNNNNNNNNNNNAGCCGGCGGCCAAUGGAGGCGUCCGUCGCGGCGGCCGCCGGGGUGGCCGCAAGCAGGGAGGCGGGGGUGGCGGUGGCGGUGCUCAGGGAGGAGCGCCACGCCAGCAGCAGCCGGCCCCUCAGCCGGCGGCCCCGUGGUACGCCGGUCAGAACCCGUGGACCGGCGUCGUCCACGCCUAUUCCAUGCCGGUUCCACGGGCUCCGACUCCGGGUCUUCUCGGCACUCGGCCUCCGUCCCACCAGGCGUAUUACGCCGCGCCGCAGCCCUAUGCGGCGCCCUACGGACAGCAGCCGCCGCUGCUGCCCCUGACGUCUGCGCCGUCACUCCCACCGACGCCGUGGGACCUGGCUCUCCUGGCGGCUCUCCACACCGCCCCCUCCCCGUCCAGCUACACCGGCGGAGGCGAUUGGUACAUGGACAGUGGCGCCACCGCUCAUAUGGCGGCGUACCCCGGUAACCUCCAUACUGCUCACCCUGUCCACACUUCCAACCGCAUCACCGUCGGUGACGGUUCUUCUCUUCCUAUCACCCAUAUUGGACAUACAUAUUUUCCGUCUAACUCCACUCCUAUAUCCAUGUCUAAUAUUCUUGUCUCUCCUGAUCUUAUUAAAAAUCUUGUUUCCGUUCGUUCUCUUACACGUGAAAAUCCGGUGACCGUUGAAUUUGACGAAUGUGGUUUUUCUGUUAAGGACGCUCGCACACGGAUUGUGCUCCACCGAUGUGACAGCCCCGAUGAGCUCUACCCGAUUCACUCCGCCGCCUCCACUACUUCCGCCGCCCCUGUCGCUCUCGCCACCGGAGUGGAUCUCUGGCACGCUCGCUUGGGUCAUCCUAAUCAUGCCACCUUUCGCCACAUACUUCGGAGUUUUUCUUUCACGUGUAAUAAGAACGAGGAUCACUCGUGUCAUGCAUGCCGCCUUGGCAAACAUGCUCGUCUUCCGUUUAGGGCUUCUUCCUUUGUUGCAUCAUACCCGUUUGAGUUGAUUCAUAGUGAUGUUUGGACAUCUCCUGUUGCAAGUAACACGGGCUUUCUUUAUUAUCUUGUUAUCCUUGAUGAUUUUUCGCAUUAUGUGUGGACCUUCCCGUUGCGCCGCAAGUCGGAUGUUAUCUCCACUCUUGUCGGUUUCUACUCUUAUGUCCGCACGCAGUUUGGCCGGCCCAUUAUUGCGUUGCAGACAGACAACGGGAAGGAGUUUGACAACACCGCUGUCCGCGAUCUUCUCGCCACACAUGGCACGAUUUUUCGUCUCACUUGCCCGUACACUUCGCAGCAGAACGGUCGUGCUGAGCGCAUCCUUCGCACUCUUAAUGACUGCGUUCGGACUCUUCUCUUUCAUGCCAAUGUGCCCCCGCGCUUUUGGCCUGACGCUCUCGCCACCGCUUCUCUUCUCAUAAACAUCCGUCCAUGUCGUACUCGCGGGAACUUUACACCUCACCACCUUCUUUUCGGUGCACCCCCCUCUUAUGAAGGGCUUCGCAUCUUCGGCUGCCUGUGCUACCCUAGCAUCGCUGCCACUGCGCCUCAUAAGCUUGCACCCCGCUCCGUCGCCUGCAUCUUUCUCGGCUAUCCACCUAACACUAAGGGUUAUCGCUGCUACGAUCUAGUCUCUCACCGUGUUUUCACCUCCCGACACGUUUACUUUGAUGAGAUGGUCUUCCCGUUUCAGCAGCAGGCACCUCUCGUCGUCUCGUCACCGCCGGCCACCGGCGGCUCAUCGACGACCUCGUCAGGUGGACGAGUACGCCUGGUUCGUGGACCGCCUCCGGGCUUUGGCGGUCCCCGGGCCCUACUGCCGGCACCCUCCACGCCCGGCGCCCCGCCUUCACCCGCCGCCCCCGACUCGGNNNNNNNNNNNNNNNNNNNNNNNNNNNNNNNNNNNNNNNNNNNNNNNNNNNNNNNNNNNNNNNNNNNNNNNNNNNNNNNNNNNNNNNNNNNNNNNNNNNNNNNNNNNNNNNNNNNNNNNNNNNNNNNNNNNNNNNNNNNNNNNNNNNNNNNNNNNNNNNNNNNNNNNNNNNNNNNNNNNNNNNNNNNNNNNNNNNNNNNNNNNNNNNNNNNNNNNNNNNNNNNNNNNNNNNNNNNNNNNNNNNNNNNNNNNNNNNNNNNNNNNNNNNNNNNNNNNNNNNNNNNNNNNNNNNNNNNNNNNNNNNNNNNNNNNNNNNNNNNNNNNNNNNNNNNNNNNNNNNNNNNNNNNNNNNNNNNNNNNNNNNNNNNNNNNNNNNNNNNNNNNNNNNNNNNNNNNNNNNNNNNNNNNNNNNNNNNNNNNNNNNNNNNNNNNNNNNNNNNNNNNNNNNNNNNNNNNNNNNNNNNNNNNNNNNNNNNNNNNNNNNNNNNNNNNNNNNNNNNNNNNNNNNNNNNNNNNNNNNNNNNNNNNNNNNNNNNNNNNNNNNNNNNNNNNNNNNNNNNNNNNNNNNNNNNNNNNNNNNNNNNNNNNNNNNNNNNNNNNNNNNNNNNNNNNNNNNNNNNNNNNNNNNNNNNNNNNNNNNNNNNNNNNNNNNNNNNNNNNNNNNNNNNNNNNNNNNNNNNNNNNNNNNNNNNNNNNNNNNNNNNNNNNNNNNNNNNNNNNNNNNNNNNNNNNNNNNNNNNNNNNNNNNNNNNNNNNNNNNNNNNNNNNNNNNNNNNNNNNNNNNNNNNNNNGCCGGCCGCUUCACCGGCCGCCUCGACGGCCUCGCCACCGGCCGUCUCGCCGGCCUCGCCGCCGGCCGCCUCGCCGGCCCAGUCGCCGGUCGCCUCGCCUGCAGCCUCGCCGGCAGCCUCGCCGGCCCCAGUGGCUCCGUCCGGCCCUGUCACCCGUGCUCGCGCCGGCAUUCACUGCCCGAGCCUCCAGUACUCGUGUGACGACUACGUCCUCGCCGCCUCUGCCACGGAGCCGUCACCCAUUCCUGUGUCCGCCCGCGCCGCCCUACGUGAUCCUCACUGGCUCGCGGUGAUGCAGGAAGAGUUUGACGCUCUCCAGCGGAACCGCACCUAGACUCUGGUGCCCCGGCCUCCUCGUGCCAACGUCAUCACCGGCAAGUGGGUCUUCCGUCAUAAGACCCGCUCAGACGGUUCACUUGAGCGCUACAAGGCUCGCUGGGUGGUCCGCGGUUUCCGCCAGCGCGCUGGAAUUGAUUUCACGGAGAUGUUUGCCCCGGUUGUCAAACCGGGCACGAUCCGCACUGUCCUCCAGCUCGCCGUCUCUCGCGGCUGGCCCGUUCACCAGAUGGAUGUCUCCAACGCCUUCCUCCACGGCCAUCUUGAGGAGCAGGUGUUUUGUGAGCAACCCACCGGUUUUGUCGACGCCUCAUUGCCCGGCCAUGUGUGCCUGCUGUCGCGCUCUCUUUACGGGCUCAAGCAGGCACCCCGCGCCUGGUACCAGCGGAUCGCCGGGUUUCUUCAGACACUAGGCUUCAGCGUCACUCGCUCGGACGCCUCACUGUUUGUCUAUCGCCACGGUGACACGACUGCAUACUUGCUGCUCUACGUCGACGACAUCAUCCUGACAGCCUCCUCCGCAGCCGUUCUUCAGCAGAUCACUCUGCGGCUGCGUGACGAGUUCGCUAUCAAGGACUUGGGUGCUCUCCAUUACUUCCUUGGCAUUGAGGUUGUUCGGCGCCAGGACGGCUUCUUUCUUCAUCAACAGAAGUAUGCCCAUGAGCUUCUUGAGCGUGCUGGCAUGCUCAACUGCCAUCCGGUUGCUACUCCUGUUGACACGAAGGCCAAGGUUUCUGCUCUUGAGGGUUCGCCUGCGUCGGAUGCUCCAUUCUACCGGUCUAUUGUCGGCGCUCUUCAGUACUUGACUCUCACCAGACCGGAUCUUCAAUAUGCUGUCCAGCAGGUGUGUCUCCACAUGCACGCCCCUCGUGACUCUCACUGGACCCUCGUGAAGCGGAUCCUUCGCUACAUCCGCGGCACGAUGUCCCUCGGGUUGACACUCACGGCGUCCGUUUCUUUGGAGAUGGUGGCUUACUCCGAUGCAGACUGGGCCGGCUGCCCCGACACUCGCCGGUCCACCUCUGGCUACUGCGUCUACCUCGGUCCUUCCCUCGUCUCGUGGUCGUCCAAGCGACAACCCACGGUUUCGCGCUCUAGCGCCGAGGCUGAGUACCGAGCUGUGGCCAACGCUGUUGCCAAGUGCACCUGGCUUCGACAGUUACUCCAGGAGCUACAUCAUGAUGUCUCCCAGGCUACGGUUGUCUACUGCGACAACGUCUCUGCGGUGUACCUAUCCGCCAACCCCGUUCAUCAUCGCCGGACGAAACACAUCGAGCUGGACAUUCACUUCGUGCGCGAGCAGGUGGCUCUUGGACGCAUGCGGGUUCUCCAUGUGCCGACUGCUCAGCAGUUCGCUGAUGUGAUGACGAAGGGACUGCCGACUUCCACCUUCGAGGAGUUUCGUUCCAGUCUCUGCGUCACUGGCGCCGCUUUGACUGCGGGGGGGGUGUUGAGUAUAUUGUGUACGUGUAUAUGUGUGUGUAGGGCCCACCUCCUGUUUUUCCUGUAUAGUUGAGGUUGUGGCCCACCUCUGUACUUAUAUAUACGUGCCUGGUGCACCGAUCAAUACAUCGCGAUUGCACAGCCCAUAAUCUGUCUCUCCACACCAACUAUCCACAAUUACAGUGCAGCCACUUGUUUGCCACUCUUGCUUGAGUUCCUUUGUGCGGUUCUCAGUUUCUAUUAGUUGCUCCUGCAGAACAGCUUCGUACGUAGGCAUUACAACCCAGGCCCAUGGGGAAACACAACCAUCUCCCUCAAAGAUGAUGAAUGGAGAACACCAGGCUCAGGUCCAGCUUCGGAGAAGAACUUGCCUAUUGUUGCUGACGCAGAAUCGAAGUAAUCACUUUUCUCAACCUUGGGUUUCAGUUGACAAGAACUAUAUGUGAUUUCCUUGGGCUGCGUCAGAUCCGGUGGAUAAUGAAGAAAGCAGUGGUUAUUGGACACAGUUUGUUGUAGCUGUGGUUGCUGGACUUGAGGAGAUGGAAGGGCUGGGCUUGUGUGAGGAACCUCAUCAUGUUCAUGCUUCAGUCUCUUCGUUUUUCCCGGCAUCCGAUCUUUCUUGCGAUCCACAAGUGAACUCCUUAAGCUUGUCCUGACACUGUCCGGUACUUGGUUGCAUGGACGAACAUUGCCCCUGAUGCCUGCUACAUGUUGCUCUAGACGGUUGUAAGUGUUAGAAUAUAGAGUUGUAAUCUCAACCUCCUUCCUUCUCUUAUAUUCUACCCAAACUCUUUCUGUCAUAACCUUGUACGUCAAGCCAGGCUUCGGCCACGCAUCAAUAUAAACUACCACGCGGCUCCCUCGAUGGAGUAGGAACGCUUCAUAUCUUUCAUGGUAAUCAGAGCCACCUCUUCUCAUACAUCUAGCCACAAUCCAAAACCCUAGAAACCACACAUCAUCGUCUCCAUGGCUUCCUCCGCCGGCGUCUCCCUCAACCUUGGAUCGCCGCCGUCUGAGAAGCUCGCAAGAGGUAAUUUCAUCCUCUGGAAGACGCAGGUCCUCCCAGCCCUGCGAGGCGCGCAGGUGACGGGGCUCCUGGACAACACCGAUGCCGCUCCACCCAAGAUGGUGGAGAUCACGAAGGCAGACAAGACCACGGCCCUAGAGCCGAAUCCCCUAUACGGACCCUGGAUCGCCAAAGAUCAGCAGGUUCUAUCAUACCUUCUCAAUUCCAUAUCUCCAGAAAUUCUUGCACAAGUUGUUGGGAAAGUUUCCACCUUUGAGCUCUGGACGACGGUGACAAAUCUCUUCGCCUCACAAUCUCAGUCUCGGAUUACUAAUCUGAGAAUCGCCAUCACCAAUACCAAGAAGGGCUCGAUGUCAAGCUCGGCGUAUAUGGCGAAGAUGAAAAGUCUUGGGGAUGAACUAGCUGCUGCAGGUCGUCCCGUAUCUGAUCCGGAGAUGGUGGACUAUAUUCUGGCCGGACUGGACCGCGACUACGACCCCGUGGUGGCGGCGAUCGGCGCUGUCAAAAACAUCAUCACAACCGACGAUCUUUUUGCCCAGAUUGCUGCCUUUGAUCAAAGGAUGGAGAUGCUAGGCGACUCAUCUUCAGGCGGGUUCUAUUCAUCCGCUAAUGCGGUCUACAGAGGCCGUGGCCAGUCCCGUGGCAGAUCUCGCGGGCGUGGAGGAAGAGGCCGUGGCCGUGGUGAUCGUGGUGACCGCGGUGACCGACAGUCGUCUUCCUCCAAUGGAGGCGGCGGAUUCAGAGGCCGUCCUCGAUAGCAACAGCAACAGCAGGCUCGUGAGCAACAGCAUGACUAUUCAGAAUGUCAGAUAUGCUACAGACACCAUCUAGGAGGUGCACGAGUUUGCUGGUGGCGUUAUGAAGAAAACGACCAGGAAGAAAAGCAGGUGCAUGCAGUCUCCUAUGGCGUGGACACCAACUGGUACGCCGACAGUGCAGCAACAAACCACAUCACAGGUGAACUUGACAAGUUGACGAUGCGGGAGAAGUACAAUGGAGGCGACCAAAUUCGCACGGCAAGCGGUUCUGGUAUGGAUAUCACACACAUUGGUAGUUCAAUUGUUAAAACCCCCGUGAAAAAUUUACACUUGACCAAUGUCUUGCAUGUUCCUCAAACCUCUAAAAAUCUUGUUUCCGUUCAUCGAUUCACUCUUGAUAACAAUGUUCUUAUUGAAUUCUAUCCUUAUUUUUUCUUGGUUAAGGACUUGAAAACAAGGAGAGUCAUUCUUAGAGGACGGUGCGUGGGAGGACUCUACCCACUCAUAUCAUUAUCAUCAUCAUCAUCUUCAUGGUCCAAUAAACAAGCAAAUAUUUUCACCAAGCUAUCUACAUCAAGGUGGCAUAGUCGUUUAGGUCAUCCAUCUUCAGUCAUAGUUAGAUAUGUUCUUAGCAAAAAUAAACUCUCUUAUGACCCUAGUAGUGAGUCAGUUUGUGAUCCGUGUCAACAAGCAAAAAGUCAUCAAUUACCUUACCCAAUUUCUACUAGUGUGUCUACUGCCCCUUUACAACUUAUCUUUUCAGAUGUAUGGGGGCCAGCUCCUAUUUCAGUUGGUAGAUUUUCCUAUUAUGUAAGUUUUAUUGAUGACUAUAGUAAAUUUACUUGGAUUUAUCUGUUGAAAAAACGAUCUGAUGUAUUCCAAGUUUUCCUCAAUUUCCAAAAUCUUGUUGAACGCAAACUGAACUCUAAAAUCAUUGCUAUGCAAAGUGACUGGGGUGGUGAGUAUGAAAAACUAAAUUCUUUCUUUCAAAAGCUUGGCAUAUCACACCAUGUAUCUUGUCCUCAUGCUCACCAACAAAAUGAAUCCGCUGAAAGAAAGCACCGUCACAUAGUUGAUAUGGGGCUUGCCUUGUUAGCAAAUGCUUCCAUGCCGCUUAAAUUUUGGGAUGAAGCAUUCUUAACUGCUACAUAUCUCAUCAACUUGCUUCCAAGUAAAGUUAUCAAAUUUGAAACACCCAUUACACGACUUCUUGGUGUCACACCCAACUAUACAUCUCUUCGUAUUUUUGGUUGUGCCUGUUGGCCCAAUCUUAGGCCUUACAACACACGCAAACUCGCUUUCCGCUCAAAACGGUGUGUCUUUUUAGGCUAUAGCCCCAUGCAUAAAGGGGUCAAGUGCCUUGAUGUUCCUACUGGUCGGGUGUAUAUAUCUAGAGAUGUUGUAUUUGAUGAGUCCGUGUUUCCCUUUGCAUCCCUUCAUCCUAAUGCUGGUGCACUUCUCCGCAAAGAAAUUCUUCUUCUUCCUUUACAUCUUCGGUCUUUUGAUCAUGGGGGCAACAACAAUUGUACUAACCAAUGUGAUGAUAUUCCUGCUGGUACUGGUCUUUCUCUUAUGCCUGUGCAGGUCCCUGGAGAAAACGGUGCUCAAAAUGACCAAGAUCUCGAAAAUAUGGUUGGUUUUGAUCCUAUAUUUCAUGCUGAGGAAGGAGACGAAGCUGGCACAGAUGACGAAGAAGAUCUGGCGGUGCCUGCCACCCCUGCACGCGCGCAGAUCUCAGAUCACGCGACCGCAUCCGCCUCGGAUCAAGCCCCUGAUGGCUCCAAUCCUGGAUCCAGGGCGGGCCACUCCCGUGCUGCCGCGUCAGCUUCAGGCGGGACCAGCAGCGGGGCCGAAUCCCCCUCGCCCCGCGCGCCAGCGUCAGGCGGGACCAGCGGCGGGACCAGAUCCUCCCCGCACCACGCGCGCCUCCAGUCGCGGUCGGGUGGCGGAUCCUCUGCGCCAGUGCCUGCAGAAGGGGCAGCCACACCAGAAGCCACAGGAUCCCCUGCGCAUAUGACGACAAAUCAGUCCACUGCAUCAGCAGAUUCUCCUGGAUCUUCUGUGGCAAGUAUACCAGCGGUGCAGCGAGAGGUUUCUUCACGUGUUAUGACCCGGCUACAGAAAGGUAUACGGAAUCCUAAAAUUAGGAAAGAUGGAACUAUACCAUAUGGAAUGUUGUGUAUUUCAGGAGAACCAACAUCGUUGAAGAAUGCACUUGAUGAUCCUAAAUGGAAAAAGGCAAUGGAUGAGGAGUAUUCUGCGCUCAUGAGGAAUAAGGCUUGGCAUCUUGUACCAAAUCAGAGAGGUAAAAAUAUUAUUGAUUGCAAAUGGGUGUAUAGAAUUAAGAAGAAGGCAGAUGGCUCCAUUGACAGAUAUAAGGCACGUCUAGUUGCAAAGGGCUUUAAGCAACGUUAUGGCAUUGACUAUGAGGACACCUUUAGUCCCGUUGUGAAAGCUGCAACUAUCAGACUUGUGUUAGCCAUUGCUGUAUCCAGAGGAUGGAGUUUAAGGCAGCUAGAUGUACAGAAUGCGUUUCUGCACGGUGUUCUGGAAGAGGAAGUGUUUAUGAGACAACCACCUGGGUAUGAGAGUAAGAAAUUGCCACAGUAUGUCUGCAAGCUUGAUAAAGCACUCUAUGGUCUAAAGCAAGCACCCAGAGCAUGGUAUUCCAGAUUGAGCUCACAGUUAAAAUAUCUUGGCUUUGUUGCUUCCAAGGCUGACACAUCCUUGUUUAUUUAUAACAAGGCAGGAGUAGUCAUUUUUGUGCUUAUAUAUGUUGAUGAUAUCAUAGUUGCAAGUUCUUCACAAAAUGCUACUAAUGCUCUUUUGCAUGAUUUGAGCUCAGAGUUUGCCUUGAAGGACCUAGGUGAUUUGCAUUUCUUCUUGGGUAUUGAAGUCAAGAAAACUCAAGAUGGUAUUGUGUUAAAUCAGGAAAAAUAUAUUCUUGAGCUUCUGUCUCGCAUGGGGAUGAAAAAUUGCAAGCCAAUGCCUACACCUUUAUCCUCCUCAGAAAGUCUCUCAGCAUAUGAGGGUGAGCCACUUCAAGAGGAGGAGAGUACAAGGUAUAGGAGUACUGUGGGAGCACUACAAUAUUUAACUCUCAUACGUCCAGAUAUCUCAUUUGCUGUCAACAAGGUUUGUCAAUAUCUUCAUGCACCUACUUCUGCACAUUGGUCAGCUGUCAAGAGGAUUGUGAGAUAUGUGAAACAUACUAUGGGAAUAGGACUUCAUUUCAAACGGUCUAAUUCUUCUCUUGUGAGUGCAUUCUCUGAUGCUGACUGGGCAGGAUGUAGUGAUGACAGAAGAUCAACUGGAGGUUUUGCAGUGUUCUUUGGAUCUAAUCUUAUCUCUUGGAGUGCUAGAAAGCAAGCUACUGUGUCACGCUCAAGUACAGAAGCUGAAUACAAGUCUUUGGCUAAUGCAACUGCUGAGAUCAUUUGGGUUGAAUCACUUCUUGAGGAAUUGGGAAUCAAGAAGAAUCGUAUCUCAUGUUUAUGGUGUGAUAAUUUGGGAGCAACAUAUCUGUCUGCAAAUCCAGUGUUCCAUGCCAGGACAAAGCACAUAGAAAUUGAUUUUCACUUUGUACGAGAAAGGGUUGCGGCAAGGAAACUUGAGAUUCGAUUUAUUCCUUCUAAGGAUCAAGUGGCUGACGGUUUUACAAAAGCACUACCAGCAAGACCAUUUGAAGAAUUCAAGAGUAAUCUUAACUUAGGUUAGUUGAGAUUAAGGGAGGGUGUUAGAAUAUAGAGUUGUAAUCUCAACCUCCUUCCUUCCCUUGUAUUCUAUCCAAACUCUUUCUGUCAUAACCUUGUACGUCAAGCCAGGCUUCGGCCACGCAUCAAUAUAAACUACCACGCGGCUCCCUCGAUGGAGUAGGAACGCUUCAUAUCUUUCAGUAAGUACAAACCACCUUACCGCAGUAAUUGCAGCUCACUUUUUUGCCUUCCCCAUCAAUGGGUUUGCCAUGCCUUUCUUUUCCACAAUUACUUGUCUGAGGAUCCUGUGCGGAAAAAACCUGAAGAAAAGCAAUAAGAGAUACUUCAGUAAUGCAAAAAUUAAAAUGGCAAAUUUCCAAAACACAAGUGCAACAUUUCGCCAAUGAUUAGAUAUCAUCUACUUCCUUUUAAUGACAGCACAUGAUGUACUGCUAUUGAUGAAUUUACCACAUGUGAACAGAGAAGACUAUGAUCCAGCUAAACACCGUACCUUAGAAGUUUAAACAGAGUUACUGGAUGAAACAGUUUGUUCCGUAUUUACCUUAGAAGUUUAAACAUUUCAUAGUAUAUUUACCAACAAUCCCGCAAAAAAAAUGUAUAUUUACCAACAGACUGAAGGCAUGAGCUUGUUCACAAAUUACAAGUUCAUGGCAACAAAUCUCUGGGCACCGAUGCAAUGAAUUCACCGCAACUCCAACAGGGCAGUCAACAAUUGGCCAUUUUCGCCAUGGUACACUCCAGAAACAUGUAACUGUAACUAGAUUAGACAGGUGUUCCUCACAAACAGUCUAAUAUUCGAUGCUUACAAUCCUGAAGGAUUCGAAUGAACCAUACGAAAUAUUAGUUCGGUGCAAGUAAAAGGUUAACUAUUUGGGUACUAUCCCACAGGACAAUUGGACUAAUAUUUACUUUUUCAAAGAUCAGUGAUGUGGUAUAAGCAUAAGACUGCACGAUGAUCUUACAAAGCCAGUAACAAUACCCCCUCUGAAACCAGUGGCGUGAAAGUGACUUUUUUUCCCGAUACUAAAAUCCGACAAAGUCAUAGUGCCUCCCCUCAAAGUUUCAGCAAUUCCUUCGAAUCGGCUCAAACGCCUUUCAAAAUCCAACAUUACCCUACCCAACUCCCAAAAGCAGGCAAAACCUAAAACAGAGAAAGGGGGAUUCUUCCUGAGCAGAAAGCCCCGAACAGCACCACGGGUCACAGCCCACUGCCUAUUUCCCUCGCUCUCGCCGGCUCAUUCCAGAACAGAGCAUGGCGAGGGAUUUCAAUUGCUUACCAUUUUUGUCCCCUCCGGAGCGAGAAGGAGGGAUUCGCAGCAGGCGGUCGCCGCGCCGCGCAGCACCUCGACCUGCCUCCCAGGGGCCGGGGGCGCCGCCGACGGAGCCGCCGGGGUUUGACGGCGAUGAGCCCGAUUCUGCGCCCCGCCUCCUCUGCUGCACGUCGUGGUCUCUGCUGCGCUCUGGCUUUUGCUUUUCUGAUCAGCGGGGCGCUCACGGGUGGCAGAGAGGAGGGAGGAGGCGCUGAGGGCGAGGAGGGAACUGGGGUUUUUGGGAAGAGAUGGAAAGAACUUUGACUCUUUGCCAUUUCUGGAAACCGACGAGACGACGGGUUUUGAUCGCUCAGACGACAUUUACUGGUGUGCGAACCAACUUGUACUUGCACGUUAGGAGGACAGUGGUAUCUCUAACCAAUUCGGAUUCAAGUCCUGGUGCUUGUAUUAAUUUUUAAAUUUAUUUCAGGAUUUUCGGUGAUGCGCGUUUGGUGAGAUAAGACGUUCCCGACGACUACGAGAUGUUUACGGUGACUUCAUGAAAUAUUAAGAUGAUAUGUCGGCUCAGUCUCUUAGAGGUUCUCAUAGAGAUAGGGUGUGUGUGUGUGCAUUUAUAAGCGUGAGUGUAUGCGCGUCGCUUGCUUGUGUACUGUGUUAAGAAAAGGGACAUUCAUUGGUGGGUGGGAAACAAAUUUUGUUUUCUCAACAUAGUAGACGCAACAUAUGCAUAUACAAUCAUCCUUAUGAAAGCACUCGUGCACAUCUUACUCCGAUGAGCACCUCCGAGAGACUCAGCCGGCACAUCAUCUUAAGAUUGAUAAAGUUGCCAGAUGCUUUUGGGAAUGUCGCCUCCCACCGAACGCACAUCACCGGAAUGUCUGGAAUAAAUCCAUGAAAAUGCAAGCACCACUGUCAUCUGGGACUUGAAUUCUGGUGGACAGGGGAUAGUACCGUUCUCCUAAACAUCCAACCACAUGUUGGUUCGCGGAACAAAUUUUAUUGGACAACAACAUUUCAUUCUUCGCGAGCCACCAUGCGGUUGGAUGGUUAGGUGGACAGUGGUAUCCCCAGCCCAGCAAGGUUCAAGUUCUGGUGCUCGCAUUUAUUUUGGAUUUAUUUCAGGAUUCCUGGCGAUACGCAUUCAGUAAUAGAAGACGAUCCCGUCGACUACGAGGCGCCUAUGGCGACUUCGUAAAAUCUUAAGAUGAUAUGUCGGCUCAGUUUCUCGGACAUGCUCAUAAGGUGUGCCUGUGUGCGUUCAUAGAGGCAGGUGUAUGCGCAUAUAUAUAAGCGCUUGUGUCUGUACUGAUGUUAAAAAAACAACAUUUCAUUAUCCUUUACCAUAAUAAUAAUAUGCAUUUAAUAGUUACAUCAACAAAUAUUUAUGAAAUUGCAAUUACUUUGAAAUUAGGUAGGAUAUUAAUUGCGUGCAUAUAUUAGGUGUUAUUAUGUACGCAUUAAUUGUGUGACUAGCUAUGGCGCCCCGAUUCAAACGUACACUAAUUACGCAAACGUGUACGAUCAAGAUCAUAGACUUCCGAGAAGAUAUCACAACACAACUUUAAACACAAUAAAAGUCAUACAAGUUUCAUAUUACAAGUCAGGGGCUUCAAGGGCUCGAAUACAUAAGCUCGACACAAACGAGUCAGCGGAAGCAACAAUAUCUGAGUACAGACAUAAAGUUAAACAAGGUGACAUAAGAUGGCUAACACAAAAAUAGCAACGAUUGAAAAGGCAAGGCCUCCUGCCUGGGACCUCCUAACUACUCCUCGAAGUCAAACUCCACGUAGAAUCAUCCUCGGGAUCCUCUGGCUCCUGUGCUCCAUCAUAUGAUCGCAAUAACUAGGAAUAGGGAAAAAGAAGUACCAAAGUAACUGUGAGUACUGAUCCAAAGUACUCGCAAGACUGACAUCAGAUCUAAACUACAUAUGCAUUGGUAUUAAUGGGAGGGGUAGUAUCUGUGGACUAAACUGCAGGAUGACAGAAUAAGAGGGGGAGAAGCUAGCCCUAUCGAUGAUUACGCUUCUGGUAGCCUCCGUCUUGAAGCAUAUAGAAGAGAGUAGCAAGUAUAGUAUCAAGUUUCAUCGUACAACAUACAUCCUACCCGGCGAUCCUCUCCUCGUCACCCUGUGGAAGAGCAAUCACUGGGUUGUAUCUGGAAAUUGUAAGGGGUGUGUUUUAUUAAGCAGCCAGUCCUAGUUGUCAGAGGUCGGAAUACAACUCCAAGUUGUCAUGUUACCGUGGACACGGAUAUUCGUUGCCGUGUUUUCCCGGCCUUGGCAAUGACUACAGACGGCGGCCAGCUGCUCGGCGGAGCCGAGCUUGGCCAUGGCGAUGCGGUGGCUACGGGAGCACAAGAGGCCAGGGGAGCGAGGGAAGAAGAUGAGGGGCUCACCGAGCGGCACACACGGUGGCCCUUGGGGGUUUAGUAGCUGCAGAUUCGAGGCAGAUCAAACAGCGGCAUAGCGGUGGCCGCUGUUGGGGAAGAAGAUGCGAGUGACGACGAUGGCGCUCCUCGGGCUCGAUCCGGUGACGAGGAGGAAGAAGCAGUCCACCGCGGACCACCUGUACACCUCAGAGGAAGGAAUGGGCGCUGGUAGAGCGCGGUGCUCAACGGCAACGGCGCUCGAUGGUGAUGGAUCUAGAGGGAGAGAGGAGAGGAGCGAGCGAGGGAGAGCUGGGUGGCAUGGGCGAGUGGGGAGGGAGCCCGAGGCGUUGCGGCUGCCCUUAUCCCCUCGUCGGUGACGUGGCAGUACGGGGCGGCAUGCCCGGUUCGGCGGGGAUGCGCCCCGGUCGGAGGAGCAGUGAGGAAGGGGAUCGGCCGCGCGAGGGAAGGUGGGCCGGCUUGCUGGGGUGGGCUAAAGCCCAGUGGGGCAAGUGGGGCUUCUCUCUUCUCCUUUUUCCUUUCUUUUGCUAGAAAAAUGCUUUGCAAUAUUUGAGCUGCCAAAAGGAUUAUGUAAAAUGUGGGACUUGGCCACAUAAUUACAUUGCAAUAAUUGGCACUGCCACAAAAAGAUUGUGAGGCUUUUGAGAUAGUUUGCAUUUUUUAUAAAUUAAAAAGGCAUUUAAUCUAUUGUUUUAGCCACUGUUUUAAAUAGUUUAGUGCACUUAAACACUUUGCAAAAAUGUUGGUUCACUACCAAUAUUAGUUAUGGAUUAUUUGGCACAUGAUGAACAUUUUAGUUUUCAUGUUUGAGCAAAUUUUGAAUUUCACUUAGCAUUUGAAUUUGCAUUCAAAGGGGAAUUUGAAAGAGACAUGAGACGAUGGGCUUCCUCAAAUCGCCCUAGGUCUUCAUGAGCAAGCAAGUUGGAUGCACACCCACUUAGUUUUUCUUUUUGAGUUUUCAUAAAUUAUAGCUCUAGUGCAUCUGUUGCAUGGCAAUCCCUACUCACUCACAUUGAUAUCUAUUGAUGGGCAUCUCCAUAGCCCGUUGAUACGCCUAGUUGAUGUGAGACUAUCUCCCUAUUUUUGUCUUCUCUACAACUACUAUAUUCUAUUCCACCUAUAGUGCUAUGUCCAUGGCUCACGCUCAUGUACUGCGUGAAAGUUGAAAAAGUUUGAGAACACGAAAAGUAUGAAACAAUUCCUUGGCUUCACUACAAAAAAAAGACACAUCCGUGACAUUUUGGGCCGAACGAAUUUUUUUCUGUCAUACAUAUGACACUUCUAUGACGAUAAUUGUGACAAAACCCGGUAUCAUCAUAGAUGUGGUGGGCUCCUACUUCUAUGACAAAAAAUCAUGACAGAAAAUGGGCUUUUCGUCCUGGGCGGGCCGGAGACGCAUCUGCAUGACAUUCUUUGGGCCGUCCAUGAUGAAAAAAACCGUGGUAGAAGCGAGGGCGAGGAAAAUUUCGGGGAGUUCCCGGUUACGGUGGGAGGUCGGUGGCCGAGCGAUGCGCGUUUCUCUCGUACACGUACGCGCGUGUGUGCAAGGCGUUGGCUCUAACUGAACCCGAGCGAUUGCACUAUAGGCUACGCGUUACUGAACCCAAGUGAUCGAUCGAUGGUUGUUAACUGAACUCGAUCGAGCGAUUCCUUCGCUACUGCUGCUAACUGAAGCCGAUCUAUGUUGCCUCUAGGAUGAACAGUGAGUGUUUGGGGGGGGUAGAUGAACAGUGAGCGAUGGCGUUGCCUCUGAAUGAACAGGACCCCGUGGUGUGGAGGGCUGGAUGAACAGUAGAUGGUGGAGGGGUGCCCGUAGAGGGGUGGUUGAACAGUAGCCGGUGGAGUAGCGCACGGUGGAGGCUGGAUGGACAGGAGCCCGUGGAGGCUGGAGGAGGUCGACGAUAGCCCAUGGAGGCUGGAGGAGGUCGACGGUGGAGAUGAACAGUAUCCCGUGGAGUCCCGUUUUGCGGUACGCCACACCCCUCCCGAUGAACAGGACCGCUGUUUCGACCUAGCGCUCCAACACAAGUCCGUUUCGUCCAUUUUGCGGUACGCCACACCCCUCCCGAUCAACAGGACCCCCGUUUCGACUGUAGGAGGUCCGUUUCAUCCGUUUUGCGGUACGCCACACCCCUCUCGAUCAAUAGGACCCCCGUUUCGACCGUAGGAAGUUCGUUUCCUCUGUUUUGCGGUAUGCCACACCCCUCCCGAUGAACAGGAUCCCGUUUUGAACAUGGCCGGUCGAACACAAGGCCGUUUCCUCCGUUCUGCAGUACGCCAGGCCUCGUUUCCAUCGCAUGUUCCGUCCAAGCCCUUCCGAUGAACACGACCACGCAUUCCGUUCCGACCCAGCCGGUUGGCUCCCCAUGAACACGACGACGACACUGUUUCUCCGUUCCAACCCAGCCAUGUACACGAGCCCUGGCCGUACGUAUGCGCGAGUAGGCGUUCGAGACCCCGCCCGUCUAUACACAUACGUGGCCAUAUUUUCUUUCUUGCACCCUGACCGUUGUACGUACAUGUACAGGCUAUGUGCGCGCCUCUACUACGACAUGUACGCGCCUCUACUAUGACACAUGCGCGCCUCUACAUCGACCAGUAUAUAUGUACGUACACGUUCGCGACCAGAAUGACAACGCUACGUACGCUUCGACCAGGUGGGUCCCGACUAUCAUGCACUUCCUUGCGUGCGAAGAUGUAGCUGGUGGGUCCCAGCAGUCAGGGGGGGCGAAUCGUUUUUUUUUUUGCCCGGACGCACUUCCUUGCGUGUGAAGAUGUAGCUGGUGGGUCCCAGCAGUCAGGGGGAAAUGUUUUUUUCAUGAAAUACGGUGGCCCGUCCGGUGGGUCCCCGUUGUCAGGUGGAGGAAUAAUUAUUUUGCGUGUAAUAAGGAGGCACUUCCUUGCUGCGGCCGUGGACCCAGCUGUCAGCCUCUCCACGUACAGUCCACGUCCGAUGGAAGCCGUUUCUUGACCACGUUGACCACGCCGCGCCGAGAGCACCAGGGCGGUGGACGACGGCGAGGCCUAGGAAGGGGACGACGCGGAGCCGGGGAAGACGCGGCAGUGGAUGCCCACGCGUAGAGGAGUACGAGGGUUCACUAGUUCGCUGCAGUGUGAGGCUGCCAUCGCCGCAGAAUAACAGGGGGUGUGGGUGAGUAGAGGGAUGGCCUGGCCAGUGGUGGGAGUAGUAGGGGCGGUGAGGCCUCCGCCGCAUCGCAACCGGCCACGGGAGGCAGGAGCACAAGGCACGACCAGCGCUGGUUUGGGCGGCUGGAGCAACAAGACCAGAGGUUGAAGAAGCACUACGGCCGUUGGAUGGACAUUGUACGGUCACUGGAGCUAGAAUCGUGCAUAUUAACUAAGUUGACAAAGCCCUCCGUCCUCGUCAACUUAGUAGGCCCACAAGCCAGCCUGCCACUAUACUGGGUCCCAGCUAAUAGGGGGAGUAUUCAUUUUUUUGUGCGUAAUAAGGAGGCACUUCCUUGCGUGUGAAGAUAUAGCUGGUGGGUUUGAGCUGUCAGCGGCGGUAACGUUUUUUUCACAUAAUAUAGAGGCCCUUUCGGUGGGUCCCUGAUGUCAGGUGGAGGAAUCAUUAUUUUGCGCGUAAUAAGGAGGCAUUUCCUUGCGUGCGGCCGUGGACCCAGCUGUCGGCCUCUCCACGUACAGUCCACUUCAGAUGCAUAUCAGUCGUUAACCACGUUGACCAGGCCGUGCCGAGAGCACUAGGGCGGUGGACGACGGCGAGGCCUAGGAAGGGAAUGACAUGGAGGCAGGGAAGGCUCGACAGUUGUUUCCCACGCGGAGGGGAGUACGACUGUACGACGGUUUACUGGUUCGUCUGCCGUUGCCGGAGAAUAACAGCAGGUGUGGGCGAGUAGAGGGAUGGGUAGGCCAGCGAUGGGAGUACGGUGGGGUGGUGAGGCCUGCGCGGCAGCACAGCCGGCCGCGGGGAGGAGGGAGCACGCAGUCCCACCGGCGCUUGUUUGAGUGGCUGGAGCAGGAAGAGCAGAGAUUGAAGAAGCACGACGGUCGUUGGAUGGACAUCCAACAGUCACUCCUUGUGCGUCAACCUUUUUUUAGGAAAGCCUCAAAUCUGUGGAAAACAGCAUACAACCCAUAUGCCAUUAUUUCUAAUAAUUUACAGCCCAUUUGCUAAUUCUUAAGGUUUUUUAGCCCAUAUUCUUUUUGUUAGCAUUACAGCCCAUAUUGUGGCCACGGUUAAAAAAUUAUACGAAAUUUUGCAUAUUUCGGUGCAGUCCGAACUAUUUUUAAUCCCGAAAUUUCGACUCAGAUUCAAACUGAUCGAACACAUGGUUAUUAUUUUCAUGUUUUCUGUUGAUCGAACACAUCAAUGAUUUACAUUACAUUGUUGUAACUAGGAGAGGGUCAAUCUGGAUAGUCAUGACGAGCAAAGCUUGCUUAUGCUUUUCAAGGAAGCAUUGCAGCAGUAUCGGUGUUACCUGAGGAAAUCACACUUUGAUGGCAAGUCUAUAAACGAAUUUCCGGUGAAGUCUCCUGUGCUAAAUUUAGAAGACAUUGAAUGAAAAAACCUUGUUAUGCACUGGUCUCAUUCCCAGGAUGAGGUACUAUCUAGGAAAUCACAUGACAAUUUGAACUUCUACUUUUCCGCAUGUGCCUUACGGAUCUUUUUUGCAGGAAAUCUACUCGAAGAAGAAUUCCGGUUUGAAUUUUUUUAGCUCUACAUUGUUCUUGUAAGUACAUGCUGUCCUUUAUCAGUGUACUUAUAUUGACAGGUUGCUGUUCAUGUACCAUCACUGUGCAGCUUAUUUUCCUUUGCCCUCCAUUUUCUACACAUCAGAUCUAUAUUUACUCUUACCAUAAGGUUGGUAUUGAAGAAGUUUAGUUGUGCAUUGCUCUUGGCUGUGCCUUUUGCCUGUAUCGCUAUACAUACAUUUAUAGCUACUUGGUUAUAUAGCAUCACUCUUCAUCUUAUCUUAAAUAUUCUCCAUUUUUCGUAUAUUAUCACAUCUAUAGUUACUCUUUAUAAAAUGUAGAAUAAAGGCAAUGCUUAUGAAGAAGAUUCUGUGGUAAACUUCUUGAAUUGCCCCCCCCCCCCAUCAGCAUGGACAAGGGCUUUAUAGAGCCUGUCUUCACCAGUAAUGUAAGUUUGUCCUUCUCAAGGCUUCAAACUUUGUUGUGUAUAUUUGGUUAGGCAUGGCUGCAACAACUGUUUAUUUUUGGUGUUUGCAUCAAAUUGCAUGUUUAAAGUUUAUUAUGUAGUUCAUAAACAAAAGUUUGUCCUUCUCAAUUGAAGUUUUCAGUUGUACAACCAAGUUCCUUCUUCAUACCAUGUAAAUUAAACUAUACAUAGCAAGUGAUCUUCUUUUGCACUGCAUGUAUGCUUCUGUUCUUCAUCUGUAAUCCAAUGGUGUGGUGAACCUACCCACUACAACACAAUGUCAUAUUCUGCAAUGUCUUAACUAUGAACAAUGUCAUAUCAUUCUACUAUUAUUUAAACCGUCUCUUUAUUUGCAAUCUGAAAUGGGAUAAAUUGGCAGCACACUAACCAUUGAUACUUAUGAGUUCUUGAUCUGUAAUCUAGUGGUGUCGUGAAGCUGCCAACUCCUUCACAAUGUCAUUUCCUGCCAUGUCUUGACCUGAACAAUACCAUAUUGUGUUAAUGCAAUUUUAAACUGUGUCACUUUAUUCGUCAGUAAGAAAUGUGAUGAAUUGUCAGCACUGAUACUUUUAUGUGCAAAACCUGUCAUCUGUCUGCUUGUUUAUCUUUCAGAGUGAGGAAGAUAUAAGUGUUGAACAAGCGCAGUCUCAUCAUCUUGCUCAGCUGCUUGCGCUGCAGCUCCCCAGCAGGGCUAACCUUUCUUGAACUCUAUUGAAGUGCUGUCAGUUUUGUAUAUUAUUUUGUCGGCGUGUUUAUUUGCACUGGUGGCGAUCUUUGAUGCCCAGUGUAUGUAAUCUGAUGUCUGCUUGUGCUUUAUUAUCAUAGUGGCAAACUUUGAUGCCCAGUGGAUGUAAUAUGCCAUAAUUUCUUUAUUGUAUAGUCUAGGUUUUUUCUUAUUCACGAUGCUGCUGUUAUUUUACUAUAUAUAUAUCCUGUCUUCGCAGUAAACCGGCCAAACCGUAAAAUUACGGUACAUAAUCGGGCCGUCAUGCAAUCACGAUGUAUGAUCCGCAUCAUGGUCCCCGUCAAACUGGCCCACUAGUAGAUUCAGGCCUUUAAUAGGCCGAGUAACCCCUGACCCUCUUUUCACAAGAAAACUCAAUGGGCUUUUAGGAGGCUGAGAAGUAGGUUUGGCCUGAAAUGUGCCCAAUAGCUCACGGGCCGGCAGCAGACCGAAAUGGACCCCGAACCAUGAUUGUGUGAAUCAACUCACGGGCUUUUAACAUGCCAAAGUUGUCUCGGUCCUUGUUUGGCCCAAUCAGAUAUCGGAUGCGAGCAGGCCGGAUGCAAACCGGGCCGUAGUUAGGCCCAACUAUAUGACGGGCUUUUAACAGGCCAAAAUAUUAAACGGGCCCUUAACAGGCCAAAACUAAUAUCAGGCCGAAUUACUAAAUGGGCCUUUAGCAAGUGGGCCCAAAAUCAUAGCGUCCAGUUAAUGGGCCGAAUCUGAUAUGGGCCAUAACUAAGCCCAAAGCCUCUUAAAGGGCCGGACCUGAUCUGGGCCGUGAUUUGGCCCAGAACGUGGGAGGCUUUUAACGGGCCGGAUUUCAUAUGGGCCAUUAUUAGGCCCGGAAUGUGGCAGGCCAUUAAUGGACCAGAUCAAAUAUGGGCCGGCAUUUGGCCCAAAACAUGGCAGCCAGUUAAUGGGCCGGCCUACUAGGGUCCUCAAAAUCUUGUGGGCCUACAGCUGGGCCGGCCCAUUAAUGUCGGCAAAAUCUCAUGGGCCUUAAGCUGGGCCGGCCCAUUAUGAUCCGCAAGAAUUUUUGGGCCUUUACCUGGGCCGGCCCAUUAUGGCACACAAAAAUCUUGUGGGCCUUUACCUGGGCCGGCCCAUUAUGCCCGUGAAAUCUUGUGGGCCUUUAGCUGGGCUAGCCCAUUAUGGUCGGCAAAAUCUCGUGGGCCUUUAGCUAGGCCGGCCCAUUAUGGUCCGCAAAAUCUUGUGGGCGUUUAGUUGCCGGCCAAUUUAAACUUGAUGGGUCGUGCCACGUGUCGACGUAUCAUAGGCGCCUUCUAUCCAAUGAGUGGAUGACAUCUGUCCCAACGAUGAGCCGACACGUGUUUCCUCCAGCCAAUGAUGAUUUUACACGUGGAAAAUCCCCAUUGGUUGGGGAUGUUAACGGGUUAUUGGAUCCAAAACCCGACCCGAUAGCUUAACGGCGUUCCGUUACGGUGGAUGCCACAUGUCGGUCACCCUUGACGAAAGCACUUCUGUGACGCGCGAUUUAUCAUCAUGGAAGUGGACACUUCCGUGAUGAUAAUUUUGGUAAUGUCAUGGAACACUUUUACGACAGCACAGGUAUGACUAUCUUGAUUCUGUCAUAAAAUUUUCAUGGAUGUACAUGCAUGACAAAAAACACGACCUACUAUGACAAACACGUAUCAUCACGGAAGUGUAUUUUUUUGUAGUGCUUGUCAUCGGGGUUGAGCGUGAUUUGAAUAUUUUGUGUGAUAAAGAUGGAGCAUAGCCAGACUAUAUGAUUUUGUAGGGAUAAGCUUUCUUUGGCCAUGUUAUUUUGAGAAGACAUAUUUGCCUUGUUAGUAUGCUUGAAGUAUUAUUCUUUUUAUGUCAAUAUUAAACUUUUGUUUUUAAUCUUAUGGAUCUGAACAUUCAUGCCACAAUAAAUAAAAAUUACACGGAUAAAUAUGUUAGGUAGCAUUUCACAUCAAAAAUUCUGUUUUUAUCAUUUACUUACUCGAGGACGAGCAGGUAUUAAGCUUGGGGAUGCUUGAUACGUCUCCAACGUAUCUAUAAUUUUUGAUUGUUCCAUGCUAUUAUAUUAUCUGUUUUGGAUAUUUUAUAUGCAUUAAUAUGCUAUUUUAUAUUAUUUUUUGGACUAACCUAUUAACCUAGAGCCCAGUGCCAGUUUCUGUUUUUUCCUUGUUUUUGAGCUUCGUAGAGAAGGAAUACCAAACGGAGUCCAAACAGAAUAAAACUUUCGCGAUGAUUUUUCUUGGACCAGAAGACACCCUAGAGACUUGGAUUUCAAGUCAGAAGAGCCACGAGGCAGCAAGAAGGGGGGAGGGCGUGCCCCCUGCCUUGUGGGCCUCACGUGACUCCACCGACCUACUUGUUCGUCCUAUAUAUUCACAUAUAUCCCCAAACCACUAGAAGCAUCCACGAAAAUACUUUUCCACCGCCGCAACCUUCUAUUCCCGUGAGAUCCCAUCUAGGGGCCUUUUUUGGCAUCCUGUUGGAAGGGGAUCCGAUCACGAAGGGCUUCUACAUCAACUCUAUUACCCUUCGGAUGAAGCGUGAGUAGUUUAGCUUAGACCUACGGCUCCAUAGCUAGUAGCUAGAUGGCUUCUUCUCUCUCUUUGAUUCUCAAUACCAUGUUCUCCUCGAUGUUCUUGGAGAUCUAUCCGAUGUAACCUUCUUUUGCGGUGUUUUUGUUGAGAUUCGACGAAUUGUCGAUUUAUGAUUAGCUUAUCUAUGAAUAUUAUUUUAAUCUUCUCUGAAUUAUUAUAUGCAUGAUUUGACAUCUUUGUAAUUCUCUUUGAACUAUCGGUUUUGUUUGGCCAACUAGAUUGGUUUUUCUUGCAAUGGGAGAAGUGCUUAGCUUUGGGUUCAAUCUUGUGGUGUCCUUUCCCAGUGAUAGUAGGGGCAGCAAGGCACGUAUUGUAUUGUUGCCAUCAAGGAUAAAAAGAUGGGGUUUACAUCAUAUUGCUUGAGUCUAUUCCUCUACAUCAUGUCAUCUUACUUAAUGUGUUACUCUAUUCUUCAUGAACUUAAUACUUUAUAUGCAGGCAGGAGUCGGUCGAUGUGUGGAGUAAUAGUAGUAGAUCCAGAAUCGUUUCAGUCUACUUGACACGGACGUGAUGCCUAUAUUUCAUAAUCAUUGCCUUAGAUAUCUCCAUAACUUUGUGAUUUUCUAUCAAUUGCUUGACAGUAAUGCGUUCACCCAUCGUAUUAUUUGCUAUCCUGAGAGAAGCCACUAGUGAAACCUAUGGCCCCCGAGUCUAUUUUCCAUCAUAUAAGUUUCUGAUCUACUAUUUUGCAAUCUUUUACUCUCCAAUCUAUAAACCAAAAAAAUACCAAAAAUAUUCACUUUACCUUUUGUUUAGUUUCAUCUAUCUCUAUUAGAUCUCACUUUUGCAAGUGACCUUGAAGGGAUUGACAACCCCUUUAUCGCGUUGGGUGCAAGUUGUUUGAUUGUUCGUGCAGGUAUUAGUUAUUUGUGCAUUGUCUCCUACUGGAUUGAUACCUUGGUUCUCUAACUAAGGGAAAUACUUAUCUCUAUUUGCUACAUCACCCUUUCCUCUUCAAGGGAAAAAUCAACUCAAGCUCAAGAAGUAGUAGGUACUCCAUCCUUAAAAGAAUAAUUAGCAAGCAUGGUGGAGAUUUUAGCUUCCAGUAUCUUUCUUUUAUUAAUGAUGAUGCCUUUCAUAUAUUCUGCAUAAGGGGCCAUCUUUAAAAUAUCAGUCAAGCGAGUGCGCAAAAAGACUGCCUAAGCAUUUUAGCAAAGGGAUCAAAUUCUUCAUCAUCCUUUUUCUUACUUGAUUUAGAUGGAAAGGGCAUGGGUUUUUGAACCCAUGGUUCUCUUUCUCUUCCAUGUUUUCUAGCAACAAAGUCUCUUUUAUCAGAUCUUUUAUUUCUAGGUUGUGGGUUAUCAAGAUCAGCAGUUGGUUCUAUUUCAACAUCAUUGUCUAGUUGUUUAUCAUUGUAUGGUUGAGUGUCUUCAUGAACAUUAUCAUUAUCUUUUUCAUUAUCACUAGAUGAAUGUUCAUUACCAGAUUGAGUUUCAGCAUCAGAAAUAGAAACAUCAUUAUUAUCAUCAGGAGGUUUUUCUAUCUUAGGUUCACUUGAGGUAUGAAAAGUCCUAUCAUUUUUCUUUUUCUUCUUCUUUUUAGAAGAACUAGGUGCAUCAGUGUCAAUUCUUUGAGAGUCUUGUUCAAUUCUUUUAGGGUGUCCCUCAGGAUAAAGUGGUUCUUGAGUCAUUCUACCUCCUCUAGUGACUACUCUAAUAGCAUGAUCAUUCAUAUUAUUAUUCAUCUCAUCAAGCACUUCUCUUUGAGAUUUAGCAACUUGUUCUAGUUGAGUUUGAACCAUAGAGGCAUGUUUUCCUACACCUCUAAAAUCAUUGGAGAUUCUAAAUAACAAGUCACUCAAGCGAGCAAUCAUAUUGGAAUUAUAUUUCAAUUGUUUCAUAACAUUUUCAUUGAAGUGAUCUUGUUUUCUAAUGUAAUUCUCAAACUCAUAAAGGCAUUGACUAGGAUGUUUAUUAUAAGGGAUGUCACUUUCAUAAAAUUUCAUUAAAUAAUUUACCUCUACCACCUUUGGUGGUGGUGUGUCAAGUCCAUGUAUUUCUUCAAUGGGGAGGUAAAAUUUUGACAUCCUCUGCUUUAAUACCAUUUUCCUUCAUACUUUUCUUUGCCUCUUGCAUAUCUUCAGGACUUAGAUAUAAAAUACCCCUCCUAUUUGGAGUGGGCUUAGGCGGUGGUUCAGGAAGAGUCCAAUCAUCAUAAGUUUUCAAUAUAUUAUGAAAUAAUUCCUCAGCUUGUCCAACAGCUCGUUCCCUGAAAACACAACUAACACAACUAUCUAGGAAGUCCCUAGAAGCAUCGGUUAGUCCAUUAUAGAAGAUAUCAAGUAUUUCAUUUGUCUUAAGAGGAUGACCAGGCAAAGCAUUAAGCAAUUGGAGAAGCCUCCCCAAGCUUGUGGGAGACUCUCUUCUUCAAUUUGCACAAAGUUAAAUAUUUCCUGUAAGGUAGCUUGUUUCUUAUGAGCAGGAAAAUAUUUUUUAGAGAAGUAAUAAAUCAUAUCCUGGGUACUACGCACACAACCAGGAGCAAGAGUAUUGUACCAUUUCUUAGCAUCACCCUUUAAUGAGAAUGGAAAUAAUUUGAAAAUAUAGUAGUAGCAAAUAUUCUCAUCAUGAGCAAAUAGGGUGGCUAUAUCAUUUAAUUUAGUAAGAUGUGCCACAACAGUUUCAGUUUCAUAGCCAUGGAAAGGAUCAGAUUCAACCAAAGUAAUUAACUCUGGGUCGAUAGAGAAUUCAUAAUCAUUAUCAUCAACAAAGAUAGGUGAAGUAGAGAACUUAGGAUCACAUUUCAUUCUAGCAUUCAAAGAUUUUUCUUUCAGUUUACAUAGUAAUUUCUUAAGGUCAUCUCUAUCAUUGCAAGCAAGAAAAUCUCUAGCUGUCUCCUCAUCCAUAACAUAAUGUUUAUGUAGCUUAUGCAAUUCAUAUCUAGGAGAGCUAGGUCUAAUAGGUGUUUCAAGAUUUUCAGUUUCAAGUGCUUCAUCAGUUUCAAUAACUUCAUCAGUUUCAGCAUUCUCAAUAUCUUUAGCUCUAGCAAUCUGUUCAUCAAGAAAAUCACCUAGUGGCACAUUGUCAUCAAGCAAGGUACUAGCAUCAUCAUGAGUAUCAUUCAUAGCAGAGGUAGAUUUAUCAACAACUCGCGACAUAUUAGAAUUAAUAGCAUGUGGAGGUGUUACAAGUCUACUCAAAGUAGAAGGUGAAUCAAGUGCAAAGUGUGACGGCAGUUCCUUACCUCCCCUCGUCUUAGAGGAAAAAAUCUUAGUCUUUGUAUCCUUCAGGUUCUUCGUAGCAAUCAAUAGAUAAUAAUCCCAAGUGACUUAACAAAUAUAGCUAUGCUCCCCGGCAACGACGCCUGAAAAAGGUCUUGAUAACCCACAAGUAUAGGGGAUCACAACAGUUUUCGAGGGUAGAGCAUUCAACCCAAAUUUAUAGAUUCGACACAAGGGGAGCCAAAGAAUAUUUACGUAUUAGCAGCUGGGUUGUCAAUUCGACCACACCCGGAGAUUAAUUAUCUGCAGCAAGGUGAUCAGUAGCACAGUAAUAUGAUAGUUUUGAUAGUAGUGGUAACACUAGCAGUAACAGUAACAGUGAUUGUUGGGGAACGCGGGAAUUUCAAAAAAAAUCCUACAAUCACACAAGAUCUAUCUAGGUGAUGCAUAGCAACGAGAGGGGAGAGUGUGUCCACGUACCCUCGUAGACCGAAAGCGGAAGCGUUAGUUAACGCGGUUGAUGUAGUCGAACGUCUUCACGAUCCAACCGAUCAAGUACCAAACGUAUGGCACCUCUGCGUUCAACAUACGUACAGUUUGAUGACGUCCCUCGUACCAUUGAUCCAGUUAAGGCCGAGGGAGAGUUUCGUCAGUACGACGGCGUGGCGACGGUGAUGAUGAAGUUACCAGCGCAGGGCUUUGCCUAAGCACUACGACGAUAUGACCUAGGUGUGUAGUUGUGGAAGGGGGCACCACACACGGCUAAACAAUCAACUUGUGUGUCUAUGGUGUGCCCCUGGCCACAUAUAUAAAGGAGGAGGGAAGAGGUGGCCGGCCCAAGGGGGCACGCCAGGUGUGGGGUAUCCUACUAGGACUCCCUAGUCCAAUUAGGAUUCCCCUCCUCUUUCCUAUUCCUAGUAGGAGAAGGAGGGAAAGAGGAGGAGGAGGAGAGAAGGAAGGAGGGGGAGCGCCGCCCCCUCCCUUGUCCAAUUCAGAUUGGGGCAAGGGGGGGGGGGGCACCUCCUGGCAUGCCCUCUCUCUUCUCCACUAAGGCCCAUGAGGCCCAAUAACUUCCCGAAGGGGGUUCUGGUAACCCCCGGUACUCCGAAACUUAUCCGAAUCAACCCAAACCAUUCCGGUGUCCAAAUGUAGCCUUCCAAUAUAUGAAUAUUUAUGUCUAGACCAUUUAGAGACUCCUCGUCAUGUCCGUGAUCUCAUCCGGGACUCUGAACAAAAUUCGGUCAUCAAAACACAUAACUCUUAAUACAAAUCAUCAUCGAACGUUAAGCGUGCGGACCCUACGGGUUCGAGAACUAUGUAGACAUGACCGAGAAACAUCUCCGGUCAAUAUCCAAUAGCGGAACCUGGAUGCUCAUAUUGGCUCCUACAUAUUCUACGAAGAUCUUUAUCGGUCAAACCGCAGAACAACAUACGUUGUUCCCUUUGUCAUCGGUAUGUUACUUGCCUGAGAUUCGAUUGUCGGUAUCAUCAUACCUGGUUCAAUCUCGUUACCGGCAAGUCUCUUUACUCAUUCUGUAAUACUUCAUCCUGCAACUAACUCAUUAUUUACAAUUCUUGCAAGGCUUAUAGUGAUGAGUAUUACCGAGAGGGCCCAGAGAUACCUCUUCGAAACACGGAGUGACAAAUCCUAAUCUUGAUCUAUGCCAACCCAACAAACACCUUUGGAGACACUUGUAGAGCACCUUUAUGAUCACCCAUUUACAUUGUGACAUUUGGUAGCACACAAAGUGUUCCUCCGGUAUUCGGGAGUUGCAUAAUCUCAUAGUCCGAGGAACAUGUAUAAGUCAUGAAGAAAGCAGUAGCAAUAAAACUAUGAUGAUCAUAAUGCUAAGCUAACGGAUGGGUCAUGUCCAUCACAUCAUUCUCCUAAUGAUGUGAUCCCGUUAAUCAAAUGACAACACAUGUCUAUGGUUAGGAAACAUAACCAUCAUUGAUAAAUGAGCUAGUCAAGUAGAGGCAUACUAGGGACAAUAUGUUUCGUCUAUGUAUUCACACAUGUACUAAGUUUCCGGUUAAUACAUUUCUAGGAUGAAUAACAAACAUUUAUCAUGAAAUAAGGAAAUAAAUAAUAACUUUAUUAUUACCUCUAGGGCAUAUUUCCUUUAGUCUCCCACUUGCACUAGAGUCAAUAAUCUAGAUUACAUAGUAAUGAUUCUAACACCCAUGGAGCUUUGGUGUUGAUCAUGUUUUGCUCGUGGAAGAGGCUUAGUCAACAGGUCUGCAAUAUUCAUAUCCAUAUCUAUCUCGCAAAUAUCUAUGGCCCCUACCGACACUUGAUGACGAAUGGAAUUGAAGCGUCUCUUGAUGUGCUUGGUUCUCUUGUGAAAUCUGGAUUCCUUUGCCAAGGCAAUUGCACUAGUAUUGUCACAAAAGAUUUUCAUUAGACCCGAUGCACUAGGUAUGACACCUAGAUCAGAUAUGAACUCCUUCAUUUGCCGCUUCCGAAGCAGCAAUAUACUCCGCUUCACACAUAGAUCCCGCCACGACGCUCUGCUUGAACUGUCCCAACUGAUAGCUCCUCCAUUCAAUAAAAAUAUGUAUCCGUUUGCAACUUAGAGUCAUGCGGAUCAAUGUCAAAGCUUGAAUCGACGUAACCGUUUAUGACAAGCUCUUUUUCACCUCCAUAAACGAGAAACAUAUCCUUAGUCCUUUUCAGGUAUUUCAGGAUGUUCUUGACCGUUGUCCAGUGCUCCACUCCGGGAUUACUUUGGUACCUCCCUGCUAUGCUUAUAGCAAGACAUACAUCAGGUCUGGUGCACAUCAUUGCAUACAUGAUAGAACCUAUGGCUGAAGCAUAGGGAAUGACUUUCAUGUUCUCUCUAUCUUCUGCAGUGGUCGGGCAUUGAGUCUGACUCAACUUCACACCUUGUAACACAAGCAAGAACCCUUUCUUUGCCUAAUCCAUUUUGAACUUCUUCAAAACUUUAUCAAGGUAUGUUCUUUGUGAAAGUCCAAUUAAGUGUCUUGAUCUAUCUCUAUAGAUCUUGAUGCCUAAUAUGUAAGCAUCUUCACCGAGGUCUUUCAUUGAAAAACUCUUAUUCAGGUAUCCCUUUAUGCUAUCCAGAAAUUCUAUAUCAUUUCCAAUCAACAAUAUGUCAUCCACAUAUAAUAUUAGAAAUGCUACAGAGCUCCCACUCACUUUCCUGUAAAUACAGGCUUCUCCAAAAGUCUAUAUAAAACCAUAUGCUUUGAUCACACUAUCAAAGCAUUUAUUCCAACUCCGAUAGGCUUGCACCAUCCCAUAAAUGGAUUGCUGGAGCUUGCACACUUUGUUAGCACCCUUUGGAUCGACAAAACCUUUUGGUUGCAUCAUAUACAACUCUUCUUCCAGAAAUCCAUUCAGGAAUGUAGUUUUGACAUCCAUCUGCCAAAUUUCAUAAUCAUAAAAUGCGGCAAUUGCUAACAUGAUUCGGACAGACUUAAGCAUUGCUACGGGUGAGAAAGUCUCAUCGUAGUCAACUCCUUGAACUUGUCGAAAACCUUUCGCAACAAGUCGUGCUUUGUAGACAAUAACAUUACCGUCUGCGUCGGUCUUCUUCUUGAAGAUCCAUCUAUUUUCUAUGGCUUGUCGAUCAUCGGGCAAGUCUACCAAAGUCCGCACUUUGUUCUCACACAUGGAUCCCAUCUCAGAUUUCAUGGCCUCAAGCCAUUUAGAGGAAUCUGGGCUCAUCAUAGCUUCCUCAUAGUUCGUAGGUUCACCAUGGUCUAGUAACAUGCCUUCCAGAACAGGAUUACCGUACCACUCUGGUGCGGAUCUUACUCUGGAAGACCUACGAGGUUUGGUAGUAACUUGAUCUGAAGUUUUAUGAUCAUCAUCAUUAACUUCCUCACUAAUUGGUGUAGGAAUCACUGGAACUGAUUUCUGUGAUGAACUACUUUCCAAUAAGAGAGAAGGUAUAAUUACCUCAUCAAGUUCUACUUUCCUCCCACUCACUUCUUUCGAGAGAAACUCCUUCUCUAGAAAGGAUCCAUUCUUAGCAACAAAUAUCUUGCCUUCGGAUCUAUGAUAGAAGGUGUACCCAACAGUUUUCGGGUAUCCUAUGAAGACGCACUUCUUCGAUUUGGGUUCGAGCUUAUCAAGUUGAAGCUUUUUCACAUAAGCAUCGCAGCCCCAAACUUUAAGAAACGACAACUUUGGUUUCUUGCCAAACCACAAUUCAUAAUGCGUCGUCUCAACGGAUUUUGAUGGUGCGCUAUUUAAAGUGAAUGAAACCGUCUCUAAAGCAUAACCCCAAAACGAUAGCGAUAAAUCAGUAAGAGACAUCAUAGAUUGCACCAUAUCCAAUAAAGUACGGUUACGACGUUCAGACACACCAUUUCGCUAUGGUGUUCUAGGUGGCAUUAGUUGUGCAACUAUCCCAUGUUGUUUCAAAUGAAGACCAAACUCGUAACUCAAAUAUUCACCUCCACAAUCAGAUCGUGGAAACUUUAUUUUCUUGUUACGAUGAUUUUCCACUUCACUCUGAAAUUAUUUGAAAUUUUCAAAUGUUUCAGACUUAUGCUUCAUUAAGUAGCUAUAACCAUAUCUGCUCAAAUCAUCUGUGAAGGUAAGAAAAUAACAAUACCCGCCACGAGCCUCAAUACUCAUCGGACCGCAUACAUCUGUAUGUAUUAUUUCCAAUAAGUCAGUAGCUCGUUCCAUUGUUCCGUAGAACGGAGUUUUAGUCAUCUUGCCCAUAAGGCACGGUUCGCAAACACCAAGUGAUUCAUGAUCAAGUGAUUCCAAAAGUCCAUUAGCAUGGAGUUUCUUCAUGCGUUUUAUACCGAUAUGACCCAAACGGCAGUGCCACAAAUAAGUUGCACUAUCAUUAUCAACUUUGCAUCUUUUGGCUUCAAUAUUAUGAAUAUGUGUAUCAUCACUAUCGAGAUUUUACAAAAAUAGACCACUCAGCAAGGGUGCAUGACCAUAAAUAUAUUACUCAUAUAAAUAGAACAACCAUUAUUCUCUGAUUUAAAUGAAUAACCGUCUCGCAUCAAACAAGAUCCAUAUAUAAUGUUCAUGCUCAACGCUGGCACAAAAUAACAAUUAUUCAGGUCUAAAACUAAUCCUGAAGGUAGAUGUAGAGGUAGUGUGCCAACGGCGGUCACAUCGACCUUGGAACCAUUUCCCACGUGCACCGUCACCUCGUCCUUAGCUAAUCUUCGUUUAAUCCGUAGCCCCUGUUUCGAGUUGCAAAUAUGAGCAACAUAACCAGUAUAAAAUACCCAGGCGCUACUACGAGCAUUAGUAAGGUACACAUCAACAACAUGUAUAUCAAAUAUACCUUUCACUUUUCCAUCCUUAUUAUUUGCCAAAUACUUGGGGCAGUUCCGCUUCCAGUGACCAGUCCCUUUGCAGUAGAAGCACUCGGUUUCAAGCUUAGGUCCAGACUUGGGUUUCUUCUCUUGAGCAGCAACCUUUUGCCGUUCUUCUUGAAGUUACCCUUCUUCCCUUUGCUCUUUUUCUUGAAACUAGUGCUCUUGUUGACCAUCAACACUUGAUGCUCCUUCUUGAUUUCUACCUCCACAGCUUUUAGAUCGCGAAGAGCUCGGGAAUAGUCUUGUUCAUCCCUUGCAUAUUAUAGUUCACCAUGAAGCCUUUAUAGCUUGGUGGUAGUGAUUGAAGAACUCUGUUAAUGACACUAUCAUCAGGAAUAUUAACUCCCAGCUGAGUCAAGUGGUUAUGGUACCCAGACAUUCUGAGUAUGUGUUCACUGACAGAACUAUUCUCCUCCAUUUUGCAGCUGUAGAACUUGUUGGAGACUUCAUAUCUCUCAACUCGGGCAUUUGCUUGAAAUAUUAACUUCAACUCUUGGAACAUCUCAUAUGCUCCAUGACGUUCAAAACGUCUUUGAAGUCCCGAUUCUAAGUCGUAGAGCAUGGCACACUGAACUAUCCAGUAGUCAUCAACAUGCGUCUGCCAAGCAUUCACAAUGUUUGUAGUUGCUGGCGCGGGUGCUACACCUAACGGUGCUUCCAGGACAUAAUUCUUCUGUGCGGCAAUGAGGAUAAUCCUCAAGUUACAGACCUAGUCCGUGUAGUUGUUGCCAUCAUCUUUCAACUUAGCUUUCUCUAGGAACACAUUAAAAUUCAAAGGAACGGUAGCACGGGCCAUUGAUCUACAAUAACAUAGACAUGCAAAAUAACUAUCAAGACUAAGUUCAUGAUAAAUUAAAGUUCAAUUAAUCAUAUUACUUAAGAACUCCCACUUAGAUAGACAUCCCUAUAGUCAUCUAAAUGAUCACGUGAUCCAAAUCAACUAAACCAUGUCCGAUCAUCAUGUGAGAUGGAGUAGUUUUCAAUGGUGAACAUCACUAUGUUGAUCAUAUCUACUAUAUGAUUCACGUUCGACUUUUCGGUCUCAGUGUUCCGAGGCCAUAUCUCUAUAUGCUAGGCUCGUCAAGUUUAACCCAAGUAUUCUGCGUGUGCAAAACUGGCUUGCACCCGUUGUAUGCGAAUGUAGAGCUUAUCACACCCGAUCAUCACAUGGUGUCUUGGCACGAGCAAUGGUGCAUACUCAGGGAGAACACUUGUACCUUGAAAUUUAGUAAGGGCUCAUCUUAUAAUGCUACCACCGUACUAAGCAAAAUAAGAUGCAUAAAAGAUAAACAUCACAUGCAAUCAAAAUAUGAGACAUGAUCUGGCCAUCAUCAUCUUGUGCUCAUGAUCUCCAUCACUGAAGCAUCGUCAUGAUCUCCAUCGUCACCGGCGCGACACCUUGAUCUCCAUCGUAGCAUCGUUGCAGUCUUGUCAACUAUUGUUACUACGACUAUCGCUACCGCUUGGUGAUAAAGUAAAACAAUUACAUGGUGAUUGCAUUGCAUACACUAAAGCGACAACCAUAUGUGUAACACCCCAAAAAUUUAACCAUGAUUUGUUUAUUAAAAUUUUGCCAGGAAAUUAAAUCUUUAUUUUCUGGAUUUAUCUUUUGAUUUCAGAACCUCUUUUUUCUUUGAUAUUGUGGAGUUUUUACCCCAAGUGAAUUUUUUUCCAAAAAUACUAUUGGACUUGUAUACCCUCUCUAGAAACAUUUCUUUCAUCUGUGGAAUUCUUUAUACGAUUAUUUUCCCUGAGCUUUAUUUCUUUUAAAAAUGAUUUUUCACAAGCUUUAGAGUCUCUUUUGCACUACAACCCUUUGAUAAAUUUAUUUAAAAAUCCCACCAAAAUUUGGGGAUGACAUGUGAUGUUCCUAGAUCACUUUUAUGCAAAAAUAUCUUUUAGUCAUUUGGAGAUUUUGAGCUCUACCCCAAGUUUUCAAAUCUGGUCCAGUUUGCACUUUUGCACUACAACCUAUUUAAAUAUUCCUUUAAAACUUCCACCAAAUUAGGGGAGGUCAGUAGGAGUAUAUAAUUCAACUUUGUGCAAAAACCCACUGGUGUUCUUUGAAAAAUUUGAGCAAAACAUCCUCUUUUGCUCUCUGGUCAAGUUUGGUAUUUUCUACUGCAACCCCAUUUUAUUUUGCUCUGUUGCCCAUGAUUCUUUUUCCUGCUUAUAGUCCACCCUGCCAAACCCUUAAGUCCAGGAGAUUGGACCCAUUGGAGCAUUUUUGGUCCAUGCAAUGGUGCCCUUUGCUUUCUGUCCAGUAUUGGUUUUCUCAAAAACUUGCAUUAACAAGUUUCUGUUCUUGCCAAACUAAUCUUGCCACCCUCUUAUUCAUCCAAAGAGACUAUGAUUUGGAGUUUUUGGACACCCCAAGAGUUUCCUAGAUGCUCUUAGCAUUCUGUCAAACACCUUGUGUGCAUGGCCAAUUUUGGCUUGGUUUUUAGUUUGCAUUGUGGACUUGAUCCCCUGACCAAACCAACAUGUCCACUACUCUCCUUGCAAACUCUAACCUAGACCUGCUAACCCCCAGCCCCACCCAAGCCUCCUGGCAUGCCUUGGCAUUUUGUCGAACAUGCAGCGUGCAUGCUCUGGGUGUGCCCAGAGCGCAUGUUUUGCACGCGUGCGCACCGAGCCGCCGCGUCGUGCCCCUGGCCCUUGCUUGCCCGCAGGGCCGCACCCUGUUCCCGCUCGCUCACCAGUACCCUCCAGACCGCCCCUGGAGCCCCGUAGCACCACCGUCAGGUCGGCCAUGGCAGCUAGCAGACGUCCGCAGCAGGCCCCGGCCGUAGCAGCACCGCCCGAGCCACUCCAGCGCGCCAGCUGCCCUCUGGAACAGCUCGAGCUCAUCCGCGAGAUCGUUUGCUAGCGCACGUGGCUGCCACGUCGCCCUACAGCUACAGAAUGGCGGUUCACUGCUCCUAUCCUCUGCCGUCGCCGAUCUUAUCCCCGGUUGCUGCAGAACCGACCUAGUCGUGCUACAAAAGGAGCCCCGGGCCCUUCCGGACACUCAGGCAACCUCGUACCAUCCCCUAGUGCCCCCCACAGCCAGGAGUCGGCGGAGGGAGGCCGUCUUCCAUGUCUCCGGCCAGUUCGGCCGCCGCCGACCUCCAGUCCCGUUCGUCACAAGCUGAGCCCCCCCCGUCCAUCCAGUGCAACCAUCCUCUUCCCCUCGAUCUUGCGGAGCCGCCCAACCUCUCACCUUCACAGGGAGCCACCGUAGCCCAAACCCCCAAAUCCUGCCGAAGCCACCUCCGCCGCGGAGCUCGCCGCCGGCGACUCCCUUCGUCCCCGCCAGCCUUUCGACCACCGGGAGGACCGCCCUGGACUGGCGGAUCCAUCCCUGCCCUCGGAACCCAGUGGGGAGCCCUGCCUCGGCUCGGACAGAGGAGGAAGGAGGCGGGCGACUGGUCAAACCUGACCAGUGGGCCCAAGGGACCCACUGUCAGUGACCACGAGCCGAUCCACACUGGUGUAAGUGGAGGCGUAAAACCAGAGUACGUCUCCUACGUGUUUUUAUUCGAAACGUUUUUUUUCUUUUUCUGUUUUAUUUAAAAACAGAACUUUGACUAAACUUUGACUAGACAUAUCUUUUAAAAUAAAACUCCAAAUGAGUUGAUUCUUUUUCCUACCUCUCUCAAAUUUCAUCUAGUUUGUUUUAAGAUUUAUUUCAAAAAUAAUUAGGAAAACUUUUUGUACUGUUUUUAAAGUUUGUGUUAAUUUGAAUAUUUUCAAAAAUAGGAUUUUGAAGAAGAAGGCAACUUUCAAAAAGUGCACCCCCACUUGCAUACUCUUGAAGGCAAGCAUUCUGAACCCUGGCAUAAAAUUUUUGUUAGUUGUUUGACACGGUUACAACACCACCUUGACAUGGAGCAUUCGUUAUUUUAUGUGAUGAUUCGAUCAUACGCAUGAGUGCAUAAUGAAGAUUCUUUGCUGUUGGAAAUGGAUAUGCUUGUGAUAGUAACCAUCCUCGUAUGCCUUUCGUGCCUACCGAGAGGAAGCCGGGAAAGUCUCUGUCUUGGGUAGACAGGAGCUUGUCUCUAGUUCCUCGUUGAGGCGGUUGUGUCCGGUAUGGCAUGAUGAGGUAUGAUGAGUGGUGAUUCUGUCUGUUGGUUGAAAUAUAUUUGUUGUGCUAAUCAUGCAGGGAAUACUUAAACCUCCUGAGUUGACCAUAGAUCGAGUCUUGUUCCAGUAACCCACAUACUUGUUUCGUACUACCACUUGUCCCUUCCGCAGGUUGGGUACAGUUCAGUAAGUUGCCAACCCUUUCUUGGCACACACCAUACAGAGAGGCCAUGGUGGAAGAUACCGGCUGCAUCCGGUAGGCAUGCCACCUGGUCCGGGGGCAUGGGUGUUUCCGGUUGGGACCGAGAGGGGGCACCCCUUAGUAGCGUGCGGUGUAAAUUUGAUCCCAUGCUAAUCGAGGUUGUAGCCUCCUCACUUAGAGUUUUGCUUGACAGGUGUCGUGGGUGAUUCCAAACACCAGUAAGUUAAGCUGGUGUGUGCGGGUCAGGUGUGUUUUCAAUUAAAAGACCGUAAAUGGAAUUAGUCCCGAUGGACUAAAGGAAUUCGUUACUCGUGGGUAAAGAGUACACCCUCUGCAGAGGUUAUAUCUAUUCGAAUAGCUGUGUCCAUGGUUAAGGACUACAGUCUGGGAUGGGUCAAGUGUCGGUCUUAGUGUCGGUCUUCGGAGGAGAAACUGCUAAACCAGAACAUGGCUCAUGACUUGUGACUUAUGAUGAUUAUGAUUAUUAUUAUUAUGAACUAACCCUUUAGAUUAUUUGAAUUAUUGAGUAUCCCUGGGACGGUUCUUCCUCCUGGAUAUUCACUGUGACUAUCCUCUUAUAAGCCAUUUAUGUGGUGUCGCUGAGACGCCCGACUGUGGCAUGCUUGUUAUUUAUUUACUUUAUAAGCCCUUUAUGUGGUGUCGCACAGACGCCCGACUAUGGCAUGUUUGUUACUUGUUUCACUUAUAAGCCCUUUAUGUGGUGUCGCUCAGACGCCCGACUGAGGCAAGCUUUAGAUUAUUAUCCUUUUGAGGCGUCACUUCAGACAACCGAUCGGUGCAUUCUAUUUCUACUCCAGUAUUUCCUAUUCAUGUUGUAUAUCAAUAACUUGCUUACAUGCAUCAUGGAUUUGAUUUUGUGACUGACGUUGCGAUCAUAGAAUAAUUUGGAGCAUGAUUAUCAUUUGUUAUAUCAUACCCGUGUUCAUAAUGUCUGCGAGUACAUUCAAAGUACUCACUAGCUUGUCCCUGCCUAUUGUCUUGGCCAGAUUUCUUGCUUGGAGAGGAGCGUUGUGAUGACAGCCCCGGAACCUAAGCAACGGUGAUAGCAGCCUCGCGAAGAUCUGAGUUAUCCAGGUCAGCUGUUCCUAUGGGAAAUGGAGUCCCAUAGACGCUGAUGAACCGCAAACCGCUUCCGCCAUUAACCACUAGAAACCCCGUGUUGUACUCAUAGGCCAGAAUGAUCUUGUACAACAUAUUAUGUAUUUUGCUUGGAGUUUCUGUAUCAAGCUGGUGUCUCAUCAGCUAACAGUAAUCCUAGGGCUGGUGAGCACAAGGGCCAUUUUCUGAGAAAUAUAUAUAUCCUGAAAAUCCGGUCCUGACAACCUUGGUAUCAGAGCUAGGCUGACCAUUGGCUAAUCCUAUCUUAGCCAGGUCAAAAAACCUAGGUUAACCAACCCACCAGACCUUAACCUAACCCCAGCCAAGCUUCUCAUGUAAGAUAGCCACACAGUGACCCGACACCUUUUGGCAGUCGGUGCCUAACCUAUCAGCCUAGUCUGUCGAUCACGCGUCAGUGACCGACACCUAAAUUGUCUCAUUCGCAAGCGUGCGAAGGAAGGCUCCGUCCCCUUUUUCUAUAAAAAGGGCAGGCUAGCCUCAACCCAGCACAGCACAACCUCUUCCCCAAACCGAUCUAUAAUGCCUGGCCCUAUUGUGCACAAUGAGACCAUAACAACCAACCUUGGAGGUUUUGUGACCGUGCUAGCAAACCUCACCCGCCGUGCCUUUGCAUUAGAAGAGCCCCCAGAAUAUGUUGUGUACCAAGGACCCAUGAGCGGUGAGAGCCGUCAAUUCUGGGACACUGUGCACGUCCAUGGUAGGGGUCUAUCGCCAGAACACCCCUACAGGUUCACCAGAAGAACAAGUUCCUUUGAGCCACAAGCCAUCCAACUAGCUGCCCGAGAGGCUAUAGUUCAACUCCGGCACUUGUCGCCCAGAGUUAACUGUCGCUCGUUCUACUACUACCCCAGCCGUGAUGGGUAUGGUAGGCCACCCCAAGUUGCCAAUGGAGAUCACGAGAUGGAUCCUGCAUUGUUGCAUCUGGUGCGCUAUGUAAGUGCACUAGAGGAACUGUUCGAUCAAAUCACCCUUGAUCUAAUCGCAGCUCAUGGAGAACUGAUCCGCCGAGCCCCGGCAAGAAGAGAAGGUGAGCCCGACGCCAACAACCCAGUCGUGCUAUUCGGACAACCGAUCGAGUCCUUGAGGUCUACCCCAACCAUCGACCAAAAUACUUUGGUGUCCCCAAAAGUGCUUCAUCGCCUUUUGGGAACACGCGCCAACGGGAUUGUGGCCAAAAACCCCCACGAUGGUCAUCAUCGCUACACCGACCUGGUAGUUCCUCAACCCCCUCCAGCUAACCCCGAUGGUGAAACCCGUGGAGAAGCCUCGACGUCCACAAGGCAUGCCCACCUAGAUAUUAACGAGGUAGAUUAAAGUCACUCGAGUAGUACCGAGUCUUAGUAUGUCCACGCCCUGUAAUAGUGUGACCUUGUAUCACUAUAAAUAAAUGCAUCUUGAUGGUGCCCCCUAUUUUAAAUAGUAGCCAUGCAUAAGUAUGUUGGUGUACGAUUGCAUUUUUAAUCCCGGGCGCAGCUACCAAAAACCAACCCCGACGACACAAAGUUUGUGCUAUGAGUAAACUAUUUGGUUCCAGCUAAUAGGAGUAAUAUUUUCAAAACAACCCUUAGCAAAUCUCGAGGACGAGAUUUUUCUUAAGGGGGGUAGUGUUGUAACACCCCAAAAAUUUAACCAUGAUUUGUUUAUUAAAAUUUUGCCAGGAAAUUAAAUUUUUAUUUUCUGGAUUUAUCUUUUGAUUUCAGAACCUCUCUUUUCUUUGAUAUUGUGGAGUUUUUACCCCAAGUGAAAUUUUUUCCAAAAAUAUUAUUGGACUUGUAUACCCUCUCUAGAAACAUUUCUUUCAUCAGUGGAAUUAUUUAUAUGAUUAUUUUCCCUGAGCUUUAUAUCUUUUAAAAAUGAUUUUUCACAAGCUUUAGAGCCUCUUUUGCACUACAACCCUUUGAUAAAUUUAUUUAAAAAUCCCACCAAAAUCUGGGGAUGACAUGUGAUGUUCCUAGAUCACUUUUAUGCAAAAAUAUCUUUUAGUCAUUUGGAGAUUUUGAGCUCUACCCCAAGUUUUCAAAUCUGGUCCAGUUUGCACUUCUGCACUACAACCUAUUUAUAUUCCUUUAAAACUUCCACCAAAAUUAGGGGAGGUCAGUAGGAGUAUAUUAUUCAACUUUUUGCAAAAACCCACUGGUGUUCUUUGAAAAAUUUGAGCAAAACAUCCUCUUUUGCUCUCUGGUCAAGUUUGGUAUUUUCUACUUCAACCCCAUUUUAGUUUGCUCUGUUGCCCAUGAUUCUUUUUCCUGCUUAUAGUCCACCCUACCAAACCCUUAAGUCCAGGAGAUUGGACCCAUUGGAGCAUUUUUGGUCCAUGCAAUCACUACUAGGGAAAAGGCUAGCAGCAACGCGGGUUUUAGGUGUAUCCGUAGCGUGGGGAGUGGCGCUACUAAUAAGGCGCUACAGCUAACACAUAGCAGUAGCGCGUGCUCACCGGCGCUACUGCUACACAAGUGUAGCAGCAGCGCGGUUAGUGGAACCUUGCUACUGCUAGUAGCUCUAGCGCGCUUAGCCUAGACGCGCUACUGCUAUCGCGGCGCUGCUGCUAACUUUUAUACACUCGCUACUGCUAAUUUAAGUAGUUUUUUGUUUUUUUGGCAUAUUUGUUUUGUAUUUGAACAGGCUUUAUAGAAGAAUCUUUAGCACAUAGAAAUGUCAUCAUGAUACACAUACAAAUGCCUGCGAGACCACAAAUGUAAUCAUAGCAUAUACAUACAAAUAGUCUCAUCAUAAUCAUCAUCCAACACAAAGUGGUGUCUUGUCAUCAUCUCAAAAAUAGCGAUACAUGCAAGUCUCGAAUACUUGCAACUACAACAACGUCAUCCAUCUAAACAAAGGUAUACGCAAGAAGAGCUAUCACUAUGAGUGAGAGCGGAACUAUACAGUACAUGAGGUGGCGGUUACGAGUCCUCUCUCGCGCUAGCGUGAACCUCAAGUAACUAGCUUCUCCUUCUUGUCUGCUUUUGAAGCCUCUAUGGCUGGCGCCCGUGAACCCAUUCAUUUGCGCCUAACACUCAUACCACUCGUUGUACACCCCCGGAACCUUCCCUUUGUACACGACAUAGCAAUUCCAUCUCGCCAUCAAGAAACUAGGUACCUGUUAGAGAUGCAUGUUCAUGAAGAGGAUGCACAAUCAUAUAUAUGCAACAAAAUAUACUAGAGCAACACCGAAAAAGAAAGGGUUAGCAACUAGAUGCAACAUACAGUACGCAAAUUAACUAACUAGAGGUACGCAGGUCAUCGUACGCAAACUAACAAAGUAGCGUUGCGCAAGUUCGACAGGGACCAUGGACAUCACAAAGUUUCAUCACUACAAAAAGUAUACAAGUUCAACCGACACAUAUCAUCAUCAUCGGCAUCAUAAAUCACUAGAAGUUCCAUCCUUCCAUAUCAUCGAGGAUGAACCCUAGCUUCUUGAACGGCGUGAGGUCUAGACGUUGCAUGCCUAUGCAAGUUUGGACGUCAGCUCGCGAUAUAGGGCCGUGGUGGAAUAUCCCCUUCUCAUCGACGACUUCUUUCAUGAUGAUCGUCGCAAUGUCGCUUUGGAUGCGAAAGAAGUCAUAUCUAAGUUUAUAAUCUGCUUCUCCAUGAGAUUCUAGCCACUUGUGGAUAUGAUCAUCAUUUUUGCUUCUCAUGUGAAGCUUUUGGUGAUCCGUGUUGAACUGAAUCAUGAGAUGGACGAUGUAGAAUCCAUCCUUCUUGCUUGGUUUUGGGACAUGGAUGCAGGAGAAGUUAGUUUUAUGUGUGAAACCCAUCUUCUUGUUCCUUUGUUUCCUGAUCUGCACGUGGCCACCUCUAAAGCUGAAGCCUUGGAGAGCAGCAUCUACAAUAUUCAUUAUGUGGGUGUAGUCUUUUUUCUCGUAGUCUCUUAAAGGGUCAAAAUACACGGCGUGGGAGACUUGCGGGUAAAGAACGAUAAGGACGAUGCGCCCGUUGCUGCGGGUAAAAGACACCUCAAAUUAUUCCCCAUAUGAGAGAGAAGGAAUGAUUGAAAUGUACAAAAGGGUUAUCCGGAACUGACUUACUUUGGAUGAUAAGGCACGAGGACAAUUUCCCGGUCCUUAUUCUGUACAAUGAAGUUUUGGAGGUACUCCCUAGCAGUUUCACGCUCAAAGUCGCCGAGACUUAAGAAAGACUCGUGCAUGUAGUACGGAUCCGCCACACAGAUUUGCGAGACUUCUUCACUCUUCAUGACGAAGCUCAUAUGUAGCGCAAAAAGGCGGACGAUUGUAAAAUCGAGUCGCCUUGUUAGAAACAUCUCAAAGAUAUGGUCAAACCGCAGGAAGAACACCUCCGCGGGUCGUGUGUCGACAUAGCACUUCCCCUCAGGCACACGAGCCGCGUAUGUCGGAUAUCCUGGAUCCUUUGAGUCUAGUAGGCUUUUCUCAGUCGACAGCACAUGGUCGUGCAGUCUCCUGAGAUCCCCUGAUAGUGCCUCCAGCGGUUUCGGCGGUAGCAUCGGCUCGCCCGUGAGAUGGAACAUGACCACACCUUUCACGGGUACACGCUCUUCAGAAUGCAUCGUCUGGCUGCUAUGUGCUCUGGCUUGUUUGGAGGCAGUUAUCUUCCCCGAUCUCUUCCUCUCCUUUUUCUUGGGCACACCUUCCAGACCCUUCCUUAACCCCUGCCCCAGUGUUCCCAGGCUAAGUACUGUAUGACCCUCGCGCCCGGCUAGUUGAGCCUGUGUUGAGGCGGCAUCUUCAGGCGUGUCCUGUGAGGAUUUCAUGAAGAGAGACUUUUUGCAAUCCCUGCUAUGACCCUGCCCGGGCAUAUGUGCCAUAUCCUCAUUAGCAAGCUGAUAGCCCGAUUCGUCAUAUGGUUGACUCAUCAUAUCUAUGUCACAGUCAUACGCGUUUGUAUUGAGGAAAUCCAUAGGGUCGACCUCUGUCUCAUCAUCCAUUCUCUGUUCUACAGGAGGAACUACAUCGGCCAGUACUAUUGCACCCCCUUCAUCAUGUCAUCCGCCGCUCUCACCCGGCACUACAGGAGCUGGUAUUGCGUAGGCUGGGUGGUGGUCUCCGCACAUGCUUGUUGAUGUGUGGUUAUUGGUGUGCUCUCGGCCGGCUCUAGACGAAUAAGAUUCUUCGGCCAUAGCAGCACCCAACCCUAGCAGCUUCCAAUCCGCGGCGGGGUCUCGUCGUCUACUCCCACAUGCUGUACUGGAGGAGGCAAAUCCCCGUGCCCCGAUUUCACACUGGUCAAGCUAACCCUGAAGUGCCCAGCGGGGAUCGGCUGGUUGUGGAACGUGGGUUGCGAGGGGUCCAUUAUCAUCCCCUUUCCCACGUCCACCUUCUGGCCUUUGAUCAAGUAGAGUAUGGUGCACGGGGUUUCUUUCGCCUGCAAACACAUAUGUCUGUGGCGUAAAACAACCGAAAGGCAACAAAAAUGGAAUAUUAUAUAUAUAUAUAUAUAUAUAUAUAUAUUGGUGCGACAUGUAAUUACCGUGACGGCGUCGAGCUCAGCCAAAGACGAAGGCCCACCUAGCGCGCCUGAGACUGAGGACGGGCUGCUAUGAGCGGGAGCGGCUGCGAGAGGAGGCCCGGUUGCAUGAGCAAGUGAUGGUGCGAUGGUGUUGUUGUUCAUGGAGUUGCUCCCGACAAAACUGGGCAAUGGGAAAUCAUGUACCGUCUUGUCUGGAUUUUCCUUCGUCCAGUUGAUGAUAAUUGGAACCAAGUUAGUAGCAAAAUCAUUUCUGUAGGCAGUUACAGCUGCAUUGACUGCCUGUUGUAGCAACUCAUAUUUGUCCUCGGCUGCUUUUUUCGCAUCCUUAGCUGCUUUUUUCUUGACCGCAAGCUUCACCUUUGCGUUGAUGUCCGCCUGACUAAACUUCUUUUUCUGCUUCUUGGCCUCCGGGCCCUCAUUGUAAAACACCUUCCACGUGGCGCCGUCUCCAGCACCGUGCACACGACCAUAUUGCGGCCGCUGGCCCAAAGGGAGUCCCUUAAGUUCGUUCAAGGCCCGGUUGAGAGGGGUGUCCCACUUGGGCCUCAUCGGAGAAGUAGGGCUUUCGGCUGCAAGUUGGUUUUGCUUCUCUAGUAGUCUAAUCAAUUCCCUCGUGAUCUUGUUCGUGUAAAAAACAUUUUUCUCCUUGUCCCACUUGUAGCGGGCCCUGAUGAAGUCACGGUCCAAGGGGUUGGUGAACUUCACGAAGGGGUCUGGGAGACCCGCGGCUUCACGUUCCGCGUCCUCCUUAUCCCAUAUGGGCCUUUUACCGAGGUAGCCACGGCUUUCGAGGCGAUGCUUCCCCGUGUUCCUUUGCUGAAGGCUCUUGAAUUUCGCAGCCUUAGCCUUGGCUGCCUCGGUAGCGCAAGUGUCCUUGAACUUUUCGAACUCCUCUUCCGUAAGUGUCAGAUUUUCCUCCAGAAUCUUGGACAGGGGUUCAUCAGCCUCAAUAGCUCAUUUCACCCUCCCUUUCCAGGAGGCCAAAUCAUUGCUGAACAUGCCCAUGGCGUGAUUGUUAAUAUUUUUCAUCUUCGGAUCAUCCCACGGUUGUUCUAUGUUAUCAUCCAGGUCGGGGAACUUGAAUCUCUUGUGCAACUUCGUUAGGAGCAACUACGUCAAAUGUUCUUUACUCCUUAAGUCAUCGUCGUUGAUGCUCGCACAUUCCCGUAGGAUGCAUCCUACUUGGUUCCCAUAGCACUUGCGAGGUUCUUCCGGCUCUAACGGCCCAAACUUGCCAGGUGCCAUCUUUGUGAUCACAAGUCGUCCAAUCCCUAGUUUGUUUGGUUUUUGUAUCCUCUGCUUCUUAUGCUUCCUCUUUUUGGUAGCGGCAUCGGGGCCGGUACCUUCCCCGCCGGUAUCUUCCCUGCCGGUACCUUCCCCACCGGUCUCGACGCCGCCAUCGGUGCCGGCACCGUCGGUGUCGAUGUCGGCAUCAGUACCAUCAUCGAGGCCGACCUGCAAACCUUGCUUAGCAGUCAAAUAGUCGAGGUACUCUUGUUCACCCUCAUAAUCCAUCUCGUCUGCAUCUUGGUCAGAAGGCCCAGUUUCUUCGUUGUUCGACAUGUUUCGUAUGAUUAAGUGUCCUCAUUUAUUUCUAAAAGUAUGAAUAAAUGAGAAAUGACAUAAAAAGAAAUAUAUGUGCCAGCACUCGACAUGCCAACUAUGUAGCACAAAUCAUGCCUUUAUUUUCGGGAAAUUUCGGCAUGACCUUUGCUAAAAAAAUGGACAUACCGAGCGCCUGAAAUUCACCGGAACGGAAAUGAAUCAACAUUCCAGCGUAACAUAGGCCACUCAGAUCAUUCCAGACAUGACAUGUCCAAAACAUGACAUAUCCACAUAUCACAUGUCCAAUUCAAAUUUGCAUAUAAAUUCAGUUAAUUUUGAAACCUAGCUAAAUUCAUAACUAAAUAGAUAACCUAAUUAACAUACUGCCCUAACUAAAACCUAAGUAAAUUAACCGAAGAACCCUAGCAGAGAGAUAGAGGGGGGGUUUACAGAGGGUGCAGGGGCGAGGAGGCAAGCCCGACGACGGCCGAGGUUGGGAGGGGAGGAAGCAGAGGAGGGAGGUGAGGGCCGACGAGUCGGGGGCGAGCGUGCCGGGGUCGGGGGCGAGAGCCUGGGUCGGGGGCGAGCGCNNNNNNNNNNNNNNNNNNNNNNNNNNNNNNNNNNNNNNNNNNNNNNNNNNNNNNNNNNNNNNNNNNNNNNNNNNNNNNNNNNNNNNNNNNNNNNNNNNNNNNNNNNNNNNNNNNNNNNNNNNNNNNNNNNNNNNNNNNNNNNNNNNNNNNNNNNNNNNNNNNNNNNNNNNNNNNNNNNNNNNNNNNNNNNNNNNNNNNNNNNNNNNNNNNNNNNNNNNNNNNNNNNNNNNNNNNNNNNNNNNNNNNNNNNNNNNNNNNNNNNNNNNNNNNNNNNNNNNNNNNNNNNNNNNNNNNNNNNNNNNNNNNNNNNNNNNNNNNNNNNNNNNNNNNNNNNNNNNNNNNNNNNNNNNNNNNNNNNNNNNNNNNNNNNNNNNNNNNNNNNNNNNNNNNNNNNNNNNNNNNNNNNNNNNNNNNNNNNNNNNNNNNNNNNNNNNNNNNNNNNNNNNNNNNNNNNNNNNNNNNNNNNNNNNNNNNNNNNNNNNNNNNNNNNNNNNNNNNNNNNNNNNNNNNNNNNNNNNNNNNNNNNNNNNNNNNNNNNNNNNNNNNNNNNNNNNNNNNNNNNCAGUUUUCCUUUUUCUUUUCCUUUAUUUUCUCCCACUUUUAUUUCCUGAGAGCAGUGAACGAAGGGAGGGCGAUAUAUAUUGCAUCAUUUGACGGUUAAAUAUGUAUGCAAAAUAGGAACAUAUAUAUUACAUCAUUGGACCCAUGCAUAAUAAUGGCUAAGUGUGUAUACAAAAUAGGAACAUAUAUAUAUAUAUAUAUAUAUAUAUAUAUAUAUAUAUAUAUAUAUUACAUCAUUUGACCGAUAACAUACGGUUCCUCAGCGCUGACGUUUUCGUUUUUGAGUCAGCUUCUUUCCCUUCUUGUUCGUCGAAGAAUAAUUGAGCCCCUCAUUGUGACUUUGCCUUUUCCAUGGAGUACGAUUUUUCUUAGGUAAUGUAGUAUUGAUUCUUCUUUUGACGUAUACUUUAUCAUCAUCGUCAUCUUCCCUCAUUGGGUUGUCGUACUGAUCAUAGUCUUCCUCGCUGGCGACUCCAUCCAUUCCAAUGAUGUUCCUUUUGCCUCUCCUCACGACAACACGACUGGGAUUGCAUGGGUCGGUUAUGAAGAAGCAUUGUGUCACGUGCUUAGCGUGUACCCAUGGCUCGUUUUUUGCGAUAGUGUUCACGGUAGUGCUCUUGGCGUCGGGUAUACUCAUGGUAGUGAAAAUCCGGUUUUCUCUUUCGACAUUCUUUGCCCAUCUGACACGGAACAUCGUCGUGUUGUGCAGUCCAUAGUAGUCAAGCUCCCAGAUCUCCUCGACCCUUCCAUAAAAUCGUUUAGUUGCGCCGUUGUCGCUGCCGGUCAUGCAUUCCAUCGUCACCCCUGAGUUUUGAUCAUCACUAUCCAUAUCUUUGGCCUCCGUGUAGAACGUGUAUCCGUUGAUAUCAUAUGCGUGAUAGGUUACGAGGUUGGGCGACGGGCCAUGUGCUAAGGCGUAUAUGAGCAAUCCGUCCUUAGAGCCCUCCUCCGGGGGAUUAGCAAUAAUAUGCUCUUUGAACCAAUGCAGGAAAGUGGAGUUGUGCUCUCUAGUAACUUCGGCGUCCGUCCUGCAUACCCCCAGGUCACAAUACUUCUUUGCGAUAAUUUCUUUGUGCAGUGCCACGAAAGGAUCUACCUCGUCUAGGUGUUGUAGCACUACCAACUUUGCUCUAUCAAAGUCGCUGCGUCGAUCUAAGUAUGCCACGUGCAGUUCCCUGCAACUGUUGCAGUGACCAUCUCCUUCGAGCCUCCCAUCGUGCUUGUUAACGGGCAAACCAACACUAACACCAGGCGGCUGGUCUGCGCCAUAUAGAAAAUUCUCACAGAAAGAGAUGCACUCUUGUGCCAAAUAGCCCUGGAUGAUGCUUCCAUCCAGACGGGACAUGUUACAAACAAAUCCUUUGAUGAUCCCAUUCAUCCUCUCAAACGACAUCAUGUUGUGCAGGAAUGACGGCCCCAGGUCUAUUAUGUCAUCCACAAUAUGGACACACAGAUGCACCAUCACGUCAAAGAACGCGGGCGGGAAGUACAUCUCAAGCUCAUUCAGUAUCACAACGAUCUCUUCCUGUAGCCUUCGGAGCUGCUUCACACUGAUCGACUUUCGAGAGAUGACGUCGAAAAAGUUGCAGAGACCAAUAAGCGUGUCACGGACGUGCUUGUCCAUUAUCCCUCUAAGGGCAACAGGUAGUAUCUUUGUCAUCAUCACAUGACAGUCAUGAGAGGUCAUCCCGCUGAACCUUUUCUUGUCCGUGUCUAGAUAUCUGCUUAUCUUGCAACAGUAACCGGAACUAACUUUGACUCCGGUAAGGCACUUAAAGAAUUGAUUGAUCUCAGCCUGACUUAAGGUGAAGCAAUAAGGGGGGCAAUAACCUUCUUUCUUUAUUUUCUUGCCCUUCUUCUCCCGUGCCUCUGUCUCCGUCUCUGUCUCAUCUGACAUUUUACGGGGCGGCAUGUGCAGAUCUUCCUUGAUUUCCAAAUCUUGCAAGUCUUUUCUUGCCUUCGGCCCAUCCUUGGUCUUAUCCGGCAUGUUCAUCAGUGUCGCGAGCAAGCUCUCAAGGACAUUCUUACAGAUAUGCAUUUGAUCAAGGCAAUGAGGUGUAUCGAGUUUGUGCCAGUACUCCAAGUCCCAGAACACAGACCUCGUCUUCCAUACCUUCAGCAGCGGCUCCGGCGCCUUUCUCAUUGUCUUUCUUGGCGCGGGGCACUCCUUCCAGUUUUUCAACAGCUCAUCAAUUUUGGCACCGCUCCGCUUACGUGGAGGUCCUCGAUGCUCAGCGUGACCAUUGAAUAGAUCUCCACGGUUUCUCCACGGGUCAUCCUGUUCAAGCCAUGUUCGAUGCCCCAUGUACACGAUUUUCCCAGACCCGCCAUCUUUCCUUGACGUUAGCUGCUGAGACAUCAUAUCAUCCAUGCACUGUGUGCAUCCGCAAUAUCCAUGGCACACCUGGCUUGCCACAUAUCCGUAACCGAGAUAGUCCUGCACUGUCGUGAUCAGCGCGGCUCUCAUGUUGAAAUACUCGCCUUUGCUGGCGUCCCAUGUCUUGGCCGGUGUUUUCCAUAACGUGUCUAACUCCUCUUGAAGUAGCCCCAGAUACAAAUUAAUAUUAUUUCCUGGUUGUUUCAGCCCUUGAAUAAGCAUGCUCAUGUGAAUGUACUUCGAUUUUAUGCACAACCAGGGGGGAGGUUGUACAUCCAUACAAACACGGGCCAUGUGCUAUGGUUGGUGUUCUGGUUGCCAAAUGGAUUCAUGCCAUCGGUACACGUGCCAAGCACGAUGUUCCUUGCAUCACAUUCAAAACACCGAUAGAAGAUGUUCAACGCUCUCCACUGGCUUCCAUCCUUAACGUAUCUCAGCUUCGGAUCAUCUCCAUCGCCGGGCUUCUUCCUCUCCGCGUGCCAGCGCAUUAGCUUUGCUUCCUUGGGAUCUACAAAAUACCUCUGGAGACGGGGAGUGAUCGGUAAGUAUCAUACAACUUUCUGGGGACAUUUCUUCCCGACCUUCCUGUAUCAAGAAGCAUUGCACACCGGACAGCUUGUUUUUUCUGCGUGCUCCUUCCGAUAAAUUAUGCAAUCGUUGAUGCAUGCAUGGUAUCUAACGUGUGGCAGAUCAAGAGGGCACACGAUCUUCUUGGCCUCAUCAACACUAGUAGGACAUAGAUUACCCAUGGGAAGAACAACCUUUAGGUACUUGAGAUGCUCAUCGAGGCUAGUGUGCGUCCAUUUGUUUUUAGCCUUCGUCUUCAGGAGUUAGAGCAUGAAACUCAAGCAGGUCACCUCAGGAUUGCAACCAUCAUACAAUGGAGUGUUCGAGUCUACCACCAGUUGCUCCAGCUUAGCCUCCUCUCUAGAAGGAGCUCUCUCAGUACUCGUCUCCUUGCGAAGCAAUGCUUGAACAUGAGGGUCCCGCAUGAUUGAACUUAGUACCGACGAACUCUGCUGCGUGGAGUCCAUGUCAUUCUCUCCGCCGCCAUGUCCGGCCCCUUCUCCUCCGCCAUGUCCGGCCCCUUCUCCGCCGCCAUGUCUGGCCUCUUCCCUGCCGCCAUUAUCGACCAUCUCUUCGUCUUGCCCCGUGUCAUCAUUGCCUGCCCCGUCGGCAUCCUCAACAUCGUCAUCCUCAUCUUCAGUUAUCCACCGAGUAUAGCCAUCCAUGAAACCAGUCAUGAGCAGGUGCGCUUCGACACGACCAUCGUCAUAGGGGUCAAGCCAAACUAUUCCUUUGCAUUUUCGACACAGACAUAAAACCUCUGUCAGGUUAUUUUCUUUCAUGUCCUGCACCGCCGACCGCAACCACCUGUCCACCAUCGUUCCACUGACCAUCAUGAACGUCUGCACGGUAAUAAUAAAACAAAUUGAUUAUAAAAAUGCGUGCAUGCAUCAAAGUCAUACAAAAAUUCGGCAUGACCUUCCCAAAAAAUAGGACAUAUAUGGAUCUAGAGUUUGCCCGGAAUUCGCCGAAACGGAAAUAAAUCGACAUUUCGGCAAAACAUAGGCAACUCAAAAGCACAAUUUGGCGUCAACUCAUGCCACACACACAAUUCCCACAAACAUAUCACACACACAUAAACAUAUUUCCAUUUUGCAAAAGCAUGAAAUUUUCAUCACCUCUAUCUCGAGAUCGAGCACACGGUGGAGAUGAUGUUGUAGGGAGAUCAAAAGUGCACAAAGCUCUUCUUGACAAAGAUAGAUCUAGUUAGGGGGCAAAUAGGUCACUUAACUAAAUCCUACAUCUACCUAGCUACCUAAUUUGGGAGGAGACAACUUCAACUAGUGGAGGGGAAGGAAAAAGAGAAAGGAGAUGCAUUAAUGGAGGUGGUGUAGUUAGGUAGGAGUAAUGAAGAGAGAGAAAGGUAGAUAGAAGAGAGAGAGUAAUGGGGGAGAAGUAUUGAGGAAGAAGAAGAGUGAGACUGGGAGCAUGUGGGAGGUAGGGGAAAGGGAAGAGAGGAGGGGGAGGGGGAGGGACGGGUGGGGAAAAGGUGGUGGGUUGGUGCGGAUUAGCAGUAGCACGGGAGUUAAAACGCGCUGCUGCUAAGGAAGUAGCAGCAGCGCGCUUUGGGCAACGUCGCUACUGCUAACCGGGACCAAAAAGUGUGCCAAUUUGAAAUUUAGCAGCAGCGACCUCAGAAAAAGCGUGCUACUACUACAUCCAUAGCAGUAGCGCGGCUCGCGGCACCGUGCUGCUACUAAAUGGAGUUUGGUGGACACUGUCGGUCGAUAUUUGUAGCAGCGCGGUUUACACCGAGCGCGCUACUGCUAAAAACUUGUAAGUAGCGUGUUUCCCGCACACGUGCUACUACUAAUUAGCAGCAGCGCUCCUUUUUGAGCCGCGCUGCUGCUAAGAUUCUGUGUAUAGGCUUUUCCCUAGUAGUGAAUGGUGCCCUUUACUUUCUGUCCAGUAUUGGUUUUCUCAAAAACUUGCAUUAACAAGUUUCUGUUCUUGCCAAACUAAUCUUGCCACCCUCUUAUUCAUCCAAAGAGACUAUGAUUUGGAGUUUUUGGACACCCCAAUAGUUGCCUAGAUGCCCUUAGCAUUCUGUCAAACACCUUGUGUGCAUGGCUAGUUUUGGCUUAGUUUUUAGUUUGCAUUGUGGACUUGAUCCCCUGACCAAACAAGCAUGUCCACUAAUCUCCUUGCAAACUCUAACCUAGACCUGCUAACCCCCAGCCCCACCCAAGUCUCCUGGCAUGCCUUGACAUUUUGCCGAACACGCAGCGUGCAUGCUCUAGGCACGCCCAGUGCGCACGUUUUGCACGAGCGCGCACCGAGCCGCCGCGUCGUGCCCCUAGCCCUUUCUUGCCCGCAGGGCCGCGCCCCAUUCUCGCUCGCUCACCAGUACCCUCCAGACCGACCCUGGAGCCCCGCAGCGCCGCCGUCAGGUCGGCCAUGGCGGCUAGCGGACGGCCGCAGUAGGCCCCGGCCGUGGCAGCACCGCCCGAGCCACUCCAGCGUGCCAGCUGCCCUCUGGAACAGCUCGAGCUCAUCCGCGAGCUCGUUUGCUAGCGCACAUCGCCGCCACGUCGCCCUGCAGCUAUAGAACGUCGGUUCGCGGUUCCUAUCCUCUGCCGUCGCCGAUCUUAUCCCCGGCCGCCGCGAAACUGACCUAGUCGCGCUAUAAAAGGAGCCCCGAGCCCUUCCGGACACUCAGGCAACCUCGUACCAUCCCCCUAGUGCCCCCCAUAGCCAGUAGUCAGCGGAGGGAGGCCGUCUUCCCCGUCUUCGGCGAGUUCGGCCGCCGCCGCCCUCCGGUCCCGUUCGUCGCAAGCUGAGCCCCCCCUGUCCAUCCAGUGCCACCAUCCUCUUCCCCUCGAUCUUGCGGAGCUGCCCAACCUCUCAGCUUCGACGGGGAGCCACCGUAGCCCAAACCCCCAAAUCCUCCCGAAGCCACCUCCGCUAAGGAGCUCGCCGCCGGCGACUCCCUUUGUCCCCGCCAGCCUUUCGACCACCGGGAGGACCGCCCUCGACUGGCGGAUCCAUCCCUGCCCUCGGAACCUAGUGGGGAGCCACCGUUCGCCGGUGUUGAUCGCCGGAGCCCCGCCUCGGCUCGGACAGAGGAGGAAGGAGGCGGCCGACUGGUCAAACCUGACCAGUGGGCCCAAGGGACCCACUGUCAGUGACCCCGAGCCGAUCCACACUGGCGUAAGAUGAGGCGUAAAACCAGAGUACGUCUCCUAUGUGUUUUUAUUUGAAACGUUUUUUUUCUUUUUCUGUUUAUUUGAAAACAGAACUUUGACUAAAGUUUGACUGGACAUAUCUUUUAAAAUAAAACACCAAAUGAGUUGAUUCUUUUUCCUACCUCUCUCAAAUUUCAUCAAGUUUAUUUUAAGAUUUAAUUCAAAAAUAAUUAGGAAAACUUUUUGUACUGUUUUUAAAGUUUGUGUUAAUUUGAAUAUUUUCAAAAAUAGGAUUUUGAAGAAGAAGGCAACUUUCAAAAAGUGCACCCCGACUUGCAUACUCUUGAAGGCAAGCAUUCUGAACCCUGGCAUAAAAUUUGUGUGUGUUGUUUGACACAGUUACAACACCACCUUGACAUGGAGCAUUCAUUAUUUUAUGUGAUGAUUCAAUCAUACGCAUGAGGGCAUAAUGAAGAUUCUUUGCUGUUGGAAAUGGAUAUGCUUGUGAUAGUAACCAUCCUCGUAUGCCUUUCGUGCCAACCGGGAGGAAGCCGGGAAAGUCUCUGUCUUGGGUAGACACGAGCUUGUCUCUAGUUCCUCGUCGAGACGGUUGUGUCCGGUAUGGCAUGAUGAGAUAUGAUGAGUGGUGAUUCUGUUUGUUGGUUGAAAUAUAUUUGUUGUGCUAAUCAUGCAGGGAAUACUUAAACCUCCUGAGUCGACCAUAGAUCGAGUCUUGUUCUAGUAACCCCCAUACUUGUUUUGUACUACCACUUGUCCCUAUCGCAGGUAGGGUACAGUUCGGUAAGUUUUCAACCCCUUUCUUGGCACACACCGUACAGAGAGGCCAUGGUGGAAGAUACCGGCUACAUCCAGUAGGCAUGCCACCUGGUCCGGGGGCAUGGGUGUUUCCGGUUGGGACAGAGAGGGGGCACCCCUUAGUAGCGUGCGGUAUAAAUUUGAUCCCAUGCUAAUCAAGGUUGUAACCUCCCCACUUAGAGUUUUGCUUGUCAGGUGUCGUGGGUGAUUCCAGACACCGGUAAGUUAAGCUGGUGUGUGCGGGUCAGGUGUGUUUUCAAUUAAAAGACCGUAAAUGGAAUUAGUCCCGAUGGACUAAAGGAAUCCGUUACUCGUGGGUAAAGAGUACACCCUCUGCAGAGGUUAUAUCUAUUCGAAUAGCCGUGUCCAUGGUUAAGGACUACAAUUUGGGAUGGGUCAAGUGUUGGUCUUAGUGUCGGUCUUCGGAGGAGAAACAGCUAAACCAGAACAUGGCUCAUGACUUGUGACUUAUGAUGAUUAUGAUUAUUAUUAUUAUGAACUAACCCUUUACAUUAUUUGAAUUAUUGAGUAUCCCUGGGACGGUUCUACCUCUUGGAUAUUCACUGUGACUAUCCUCUUAUAAGCCCUUUAUGUGGUGUCGCUGAGACGCCCGACUGUGGCAUGCUUGUUAUUUAUUUACUUUAUAAGCCCUUUAUGUGGUGUCGCACAGACGCCCGACUGUGACAUGUUUGUUACUUGUUUCACUUAUAAGCCCUUUAUGUGGUGUCGCUCAACCGCCCGACUGAGGCAAGCUUUAGAUUAUUAUCCUUUCGAGGCGUCACUUUAGACACCCGGUCAGUGCAUUCUAUUUCUACUCCAGUAUUGCCUAUUCAUGUUGUAUAUGAAUAACUUGCUUACAUGCAUCAUGGAUUUUAUUUUGUGACUGACGUUGCAAUCAUAGAAUAAUUCGGAGCAUGAUUAUCAUUUGUUAUAUUGUACCCGUGUUCAUAAUGUUUGCAGGUACAUUCAAAGUACCUGUUGCCGAUAACUUUGUUUCAAAAACAUGAUCAUAUCAUACAACAAUUUAUAUCACAUCAUGCCUUGACCAUAUCACAUCACAGCAAGCCCUGCAAAAAUAAGUUAGACGUCCUUUACUUUGUUGUUGCAAGUUUUACGUGGAUGCUACGGGCUUCUAGCAAGAACCGUUCUUACCUACGCAUCAAAACCACAACGAUUUUUCGUCAAGUGUGUUGUUUUAACCUUCAACAAGGACCGGCCGUAGUCAAACUUGAUUCAACUAAAGUCAGAGAAACAGACACCCGCCAGCCACCUUUGUGCAAAAGCACGUCGGUAGAACCAGUCUCAUGAAUGCAGUCAUGUAAUGUCGGUCCGGGCCGCUUCAUCCAACAAUACCGCCGAAUCAAAGUUAGAUGUUGGUGGUAAGUAGUAUGGCUAUUAUCGCCCACAACUCUUUGUGUUCUACUCGUGCAUAUAACAUCUACGCAUAAACCUGGCUCUGAUACCACUGUCGGGGAACGCGGCAAUUUCAAAAAAAUUCCUACGGUCACGCAAGAUCUAUCUAGGUGAUGCAUAGCAACAAGAGGGGAGAGUGUGUCCACGUACCCUCGUAAACCGAAAGCGGAAGCGUUAGUUAACACGGUUGAUGUAGUCGAACGUCUUCGCAAUCCAACCGAUCAAGUAUCGAACGUACGACAUCUCCGUGUUCAGCACACGUACAGCUCGAUGACGUCCCUCAUACUCUUGAUCCAAUUGAGGCCGAGGUAGAGUUUCGUCAGCACGACAGUGUGGCGAUGGUGAUGAUGAAGUUCCCAGCGCAGGGCUUUGCCUAAGCAUUACAACGAUAUGACUGAGGUGUGUAACUGUGGAGGGGGGCACCGCACACGGCUAAAAAAUCAACUUGUGUGUCUAUGGGGUGCCCCUGGCCACGUAUAUAAAGGAGGGGAGGGAAGAGGUGGCCGGCCCAAGGGAGGCACGCCUGGUGUGGGGAAUCCUACUAGGACUCCCCAGUCCAAGUAGGAUUCCCGUCCUCUUUCCUAUUCCUAGUAGGAGAAGGAGGGAAGGGGGAGGAGGAGAGAAGGAAGGAGGGGGGCACCACCCCCUCCCCUUGUCCGAUUUGGAUUUGGGAAAGGGGAGGGCACCACAUCUUGGCCUGCCCUCUCUCUUCUCCACUAAGGCCCAUGAUGCCCAAUAACUUCCCGGACGGGGUUCUGGUAACCCCCGGUACUCCGAAACUUAUCCGAAUCGACCCGAACCAUUCCGGUGUCCGAAUGUAGCCUUCCAAUAUAUGAAUCUUUAUGUCUCGACCAUUUCGAGACUCCUCUUCAUGUCUGUGAUCUCAUCCGAGACUCCGAACAAAAUUCGGUCAUCAAAACACAUAACUCUUAAUACAAAUCGUCAUCGAAUGUUAAGCGUGCGGACCCUACGGGUUCAAGAACUAUGUAGACAUGACCAAGAUGUUGGGGAACGUAGUAAUUUCAAAAAAAUUCCUACGCACAUGCAAGAUCAUGGUGAUGCAUAGCAACGAGAGGGGAGAGUGUGUCCACGUACCCUCGUAGACCGAAAGCGGAAGCGUUAGCACAACGCGGUUGAUGUAGUCGUACGUCUUCACGAUCCGACCGAUCAAGUACCGAACGCACGGCACCUCCGAGUUCAGCACACGUUCAGCUCGAUUACGUCCCUUGAACUAUGAUCUAGCCGAGUUUUCAGGGAGAGUUUCGUCAGCAUGGUGGUGUGGUGACGAUGAUGAUGUUCUACUGACGCAGGGCUUCUCCUAAGCACCGCUACGAUAUUAUCGAGGUGGAUUAUGGUGGAGGGGAGCACCGCACACGGCUAAGAGAUCCAAGGGAUCAAUUGUUGUAUCUCAAGGGGGUGCCUCCCUCCCCGUAUAUAAAGGAGUGGAGGAGGGGGAGGGAGCCGGCCACCCUUGGCGCGCCCCACGAGGAGUCCUACUCCCACCGGGAGUAGGACUCCCCCCCCUUCCAUGUCGAAGUAUGAGAGGAGAGGGAAUGAGAGAGAGGGGAAAGGAAAGGGGGGCGCCGCCCCCCUCCUUGUCCAAUUCGGACUUGGGGGGGAGGGGCGCGCGGCUGCCCCUUGGGUGUCUCUCCUCUUCCACCACUUGGGCCCAUAAGGCCCAAUAACCUCCGGGGGGGUUCCGGUAACCCCCCGGUACUCCGGUAUAUAUCCGAUAACACCCGGAACCAUUCCGGUGUCCGAAUAUAGUCGUCCAAUAUAUCAAUCUUCAUGUCUCGACCAUUUUGAGACUCCUCGUCAUGUCCUUUAUCACAUCCGGGACUCCGAACUACCUUCGGUACAUCAAAAUACAUAAAAUCAUAAUAUAACCGUCAUCGAACUUUAAGCAUGUGGACCCUAUGGGUUCGAGAACUAUGUAGACAUGACCGAGACACGUUUCCGGUCAAUAACCAAUAGCGGAACCUGGAUGCUCAUAUUGGCUCCCACAUAUUCUAUGAAGAUCUUUAUAGGUCAAACCGCAUAACGACAUACGUUGUUCCCUUUGUCAUCGGUAUGUUACUUGCCUGAGAUUCGAUCGUCGGUAUCAUCAUACCUAGUUCAAUCUCAUUACAGGCAAGUCUCUUUACUCGUUCCGUAAUACAUCAUCCCGCAACUAGCUCAUUAGUCACAUUGCUUGCAAGGCUUAUAGUGAUGUGCAUUACCGAGAGGGCCCAGAGAUACCUCUCCGACAAUCGGAGUGACAAAUCCUAAUCUCGAAAUACGCCAACUCAACAAGUACCUUUGGAGACACCUGUAGAGCACCUUUAUAAUAACCCAGUUAUGUUGUGACGUUUGGUAGCACACAAAGUGUUCCUCCAGUAAACGGGAGUUGCAUAAUCUCAUAGUCAUUGGAACAUGAAUAAGUCAUGAAGAAAGCAAUAGCAGAAUACUAAACGAUCAAGUGCUAAGCUAACGGAAUGGGUCAAGUCAAUCACAUCAUUCUCUAAUGAUGUGAUCCCGUUAAUCAAAUGACAACUCAUGUCUAUGGCUAGGAAACUUAACCAUCUUUGAUUCAACGAGCUAGUCAAGUAAAGGCAUACUAGUGACACAUUGUUUGUCUAUGUAUUCACACAUGUAUCAAGUUUCCGGUUAAUACAAUUCUAGCAUGAAUAAUAAACAUUUAUCAUGAAAUAAGGAAAUAAAUAAUAAGUUUAUUAUUGCCUCUAGGGCAUAUUUCCUUCAGUCUCCCACUUGCACUAGAGUCAAUAAUGUAGUUCACAUCACCAUGUAAUUUAACACCAAUAUUCACAUAUGUAUGUGAUUAACACCCAUAGUUCACAUCAUCAAGUGACCAACACCCGAAGGGUUUACUAGAGUCAAUAAUCUAGUUCACAUCGCUAUGUGAUUAACACCCAAAGAGUACUAAGGUAUGAUCAUGUUUUGCUCGUGAGAGAAGUUUAGUCAAUGGGUCUGCCAAAUUCAGAUCAGUAUGUAUUUUGCAAAUUUCUAUGUGAACAAUGCUCUGCACGGAGCUACUCUAGCUAAUUGCUCCCACUUUCAAUAUGUAGCCAGAUUGAGACUUAGAGUCAUCUGGAUCAGUGUCAAAACUUGCAUCGACGUAACCCUUUACGAUGAACCUCUUGUCACCUCCAUAAUCGAGAAACAUAUCCUUAUACCACUAAGGAUAAUUUUGACCAAUGUCCUGUGAUCUACUCCUAGAUCACUAUUGUACUCCCUUGCCAAAACAGAUCAGGGUAUACAAUAGGUCUAUACCAUAGCAUGGCAUACUUUAUAGAACCUAUGACUUAGGCAUAGGGAAUGACUUUCAUUCUCUUUCUAUUUUCUGCCGUGGUCGGGAUUUGAGUCGUACUCAAUUUCACACCUUUGCAACACAGGCAAGAACCUUUUUCUUUGACUGUUCUAUUUUGAACUACUUCAAAAUCUUGUCAAGGUAUGUACUAAUUGAAAAUCUUAUCAAGCAUUUUGAUCUAUCUCUAUAGAUCUUGAUGCUCAAUGUGUAAGCAGCUUCACCGAGGUCUUUCUUUGAAAAACUUUUAUUCAAGUAUCCCUUUAUGCUAUCCAGAAUUUCUAUAUCAUCUCCAAUCAACAAUAUGUCAUCUACAUAUAGUUUUAGAAAUGCUACAGAGCUCCCACUCACUUGUAAAUACAGGCUUCUCCAAAAGUCUGUAUAAAUCCAUAUGCUUUGAUCAACUCAUCAAAGCAUAUAUUCCAACUCUGAGAUGCUUGCACUAGUCCAUAGAUGGAUCACUGGAGCGUGCACAUUUUGUUAGCACCUUUAGGAUUGACAAAACAUUUCUAGUUGCAUCAUAUACAACUCUUCUUUAAUACACCCAUUAAGGAAUGCAGUUUUGACAUCCAUUUGCUAGAUUUCAUAAAAUGUAGCAAUUGCUAACAUGAUUCGGACAGACUUAAGCAUCGAUACGAGUGAGAAAAUCUCAUCGUAUUCAACACCUUGAACUUUGUCGAAAAACCUUAUGCGACAAGUCGAGCUUUGUAGACAGUAACACUACUAUCAGUGUCUGUCUUCCUCUUGAAGAUCCAUUUAUUUUCUAUGGCUUGUCGAUCAUCGGGCAAGUCCACCGAAGUCCACACUUUGUUCUCAUACAUGGAUCCCAUCUCAGAUUUCAUGGUCUUUAAGCCAUUUCAUGGAAUUUGGGCUCAUCAUCGCUUCCUCAUAGUUCGUAGGUUCAUCAUGGUCUAGUAACAUGACUUCUAGAAUAGGAUUACCGUACCACUCUGGUGUGGAUCUUACUCUGGAAGACCUACAAGGUUCGGUAGUAACUUGAUCCAAAGUUUUAUGAUCAUCAUCAUUAACUUCCUCACUAAUUGGUGUAGGCAUCAUUGGAACUGGUCUCUGUGAUGAACUACUUUCCAAUUCGGGAGAAGGUACAAUUACCUUAUGAAGCUCUACUUUCCUCCCACUCACUUCUUUCAAGAGAAACUCCUUCUCUAGAAAGGAUCCAUUUUUAGCAACGAAUAUCUUGCCUUCGGAUCUGUGAUAGAAGGUGUACCCAACAGUUUCCUUUGGGUAUUCUAUGAAGACACACUUCUCUGAUUUGGGUUCGAGCUUAUCAGGUGAAAACUUUUUCACAUAAGCAUCGCAGCCCCAAACUUUUAGAAACAAAAACUUUGGUUUGUUGCCAAACCACAGUUCAUAAGGCGCCAUCUCAACGGAUUUUGAUGGUGCCCUAUUUAAAGUGAAUGCAGCUGUCUCUAAUGCAUAACCCCAAAACGAUAGUGGUAAAUCAGUAAGAUACAUCAUAGAUCGCACCAUAUCCAAUAAAGUGCGGUUACGACAUUCAGAUACACCAUUAUGUUGUGGUGUUCGGGUGGCGUGAGUUGCCAAACUAUUCCGCAUUGUUUCAAAUGAAGACCAAACUCAUAACUCAAAUAUUCUCCUCCACGAUCAGAUCGUAGAAACUUUAUUUUCUUGUUACGAUGAUUUUCCACUUCACUCUGAAAUUCUUUGAACUUUUCAAUCGUUCCAGACUUAUGUUUCAUAGGAUAGAUAUACCCAUAUCUACUCAAAUCAUCUGUGAAGGUCAGAAAAUAACGAUACCCGCCGCAAGUCUCAACACUCAUCGGAUCGCAUACAUCAGUAUGUAUUAUUUCCAAUAAGUCUGUUGCUUGCUCCAUUGUUCCGGAGAAUGGAGUCUUAGUCAUCUUGCCCAUAAGGCAUGGUUCGCAAGCAUCAAGUGAUACAAAAAUUCCAUCAGUAUGGAGUUUCUUCAUGCGCUUUACACCAAUAUGAUCUAAAAGUGCCACAAAUAAGUUGCACUAUCAUUAUUAACUUUGCAUCUUUUGACUUCAAUAUUAUGAAUAUGUGUAUUACUACGAUCGAGAUCCAACAAACUAUUUUCAUUGGGUGUAUGACCAUUGAAGGUUUUAUUCAUGUAAACAGAACAACAAUUAUUCUCUGACUUUAAAUGAAUAACCGUAUUGCAAUAAACAUGAUCAAAUCAUAUUCAUGCUCAACGCAAACGCCAAAUAACAUUUAUUUAGGUUUAACACUAAUCCCGAAAGUAUAGGGAGUGUGCAAUGAUGAUCAUAUAAAUCUUGGAACCACUUCCAACACACAUCGUCACUUCACCCUCAACUAGUCUUUGUUUAUUCUGUAACUCCUGUUUCAAGUUACUAAUUUUUAGCAACCGAACAAGUACCAAAUACCCAGGGGCUACUAUAAACACUAGUAAGGUACACAUCAAUAACCUGUAUAUCAAAUACCCUUGUUCACUUUGCCAUCCUUAUUAUCCACCAAAUAUUCAGGGCAUUUCUGCUUCUAGUGACCAUUUCCUUUGCAGUAGAAUCACUCAGUUUCAGGCUUUGGUCCAGCUUUGGGAUUCUUCGCGGGAGUGACAACUUUCUUGCCAUUCUACAUGAAGUUCCCUUUCUUUCCCUUUGCCCUUUUCUUGAAACUAGUGGUCUUGUUAAUCAUCAACACUUGAUGCUCUUUCUUGAUUUCUACCUUCGUCGGUUUCAACAUCACGAAGAGCUUGGGAAUCGUUUUCAUCAUCCCUUGCAUACUAUAGUUCAUCAUGAAGUUAUAGUAACUUGGUGAUGAUGACUAGAGAACUCUGUCAAUCACUAUCUUAUCUGGAAGAUUAACUCCCACUUGAUUCAAGCGAUUGUAGUACCCAGACAAUCUGAGCACAUGCUCACUAGUUGAGCAAUUCUCCUCCAUCUUUUAGCUAUAGAACUUGUUGGAGACUUCAUAUCUCUCAACUCGGGUAUUUGCUUGAAAUAUUAACUUCAACUCCUGGAACAUCUCAUAUUGUCCAUGACGUUCAAAACGUCUUUGAAGUCCUGAUUCUAAGUCGUUAAGCAUGGUGCACUAAACUAUCAAGUAGUCAUCAUAUUGAGCUAGCCAAACGUUCAUGACAUCUGCAUCUGCUCCUGCAAUAGGUCUGUCACCUAGCGGUGCAUCAUGGACAUAAUUCUUCUAUGCAGCAAUGAGGAUAAACCUCAGAUCACGGACCUAGUCCGCAUCAUUACUAUCAUCUUUCAACUUAGUUUUCUCUAGGAACACAUAUAAAACAUAGGGAAGCAACAACACGGGCUAUUGAUCUACAAUAUAAUUUGUAAAAUACUAUCAGGACUAAGUUCAUGAUAAUAUAAAGUUCAAUUAAUCAUAUUACUUAAGAACUCCCACUUAGAUAGACAUCCCUCUAAUCAUCUAAGUGAUCACGUGAUCCAAAUCAACUAAACCAUAACCGAUCAUCACGUGAAAUGGAGUAGUUUUCAAGGGUGAACAUCAGUAUGUUGAUCAUAUCUACUAUAUGAUUCACGCUCGACCUUUCGGUCUCAGUGUUCCGAGGCCAUAUCUGCAUAUGCUAGGCUCGUCAAGUUUAACCUGAGUAUUCUGCGUGUGCAGAACUGGCUUGCACCCGUUGUAGAUGGACGUAGAGCUUAUCACACCCGAUCAUCACGUGGUGUCUGGGCACGACGAACUUUGGCAAUGGUGCAUACUCAAGGAGAAUACUUUUAUCUUGAAAUUUAGUGAGAGAUCAUCUUAUAAUACUAUCGUCAAUCAAAGCAAGAUAAGAUGCAUAAAAGAUAAACAUCACAUGCAAUCAGUAUAAGUGAUAUGAUAUGGCCAUCAUCAUCGUGUGCUUGUGAUCUCCAUCUCCGAAGCACCGUCAUGAUCACCAUCGUCACCGGCGCGACACCUUGAUCUCCAUCAUAGCAUCGUUGUCAUCUCGCCAACUAUUGCUUCUAUGACUAUCGCUACCGCUUAGUGAUAAAGUAAAGCAAUUAUAGGGCGAUUGCAUUGCAUACAAUAAAUCGACAACCAUAUGGCUCCUGCCAGUUUCCGAUAACUCGGUUACAAAACAUGAUCAUCUCAUACAAUAAAAUACAGCAUCAUGCCUUAACCAUAUCACAUCACAACAUGCCCUGCAAAAACAAGUUAGACGUCCUCUACUUUGUUGUUGCAAGUUUUACGUGGCUGCUACGGGCUGAGCAAGAACCGUUCUUACCUAAGCAUCAAAACCACAAUGAUAGUUCGUCAAGUUAGUGUUGUUUUAACCUUCUCAAGGACCGGGCGUAGCCACACUCGGUUCAACUAAAGUUGGAGAAACUGACACCCGCUAGUCACCUGUGUGCAAAGCACGGCGGUAAAACCAGUCUCGCGUAAGCGUACGCGUAAUGUCGGUCCGGACCGCUUCAUCCAACAAUACCACCGAACCAAAGUAUGACAUGUUGGUAAGCAGUAUGACUUGUAUUGCCCACAACUCACUUGUGUUCUACUCGUGCAUAUAACAUCUACGCAUAAAACCUGGCUCGGAUGCCACUGUUGGGGAACGUAGUAAUUUCAAAAAAAAUCCUACGCACACGCAAGAUCAUGGUGAUACAUAGCAACGAGAGGGGAGAGUGUGUCCACGUACCCUCGUAGAUCGAAAGCGGAAGUGUUAGCACAACGCGGUUGAUGUAGUCGUACGUCUUCACGAUCCAACCGAUCAAGUACCGAAAGCACGGCACCUCCGAGUUCAGCACACGUUCAGCUCGAUGACGUCCCUCGAACUCUGAUCCAGCUGAGUUUUGAGGGAGAGUUCCCUCAGCACGACGGUGUGGUGACGAUGAUGAUGUUCUACCGAUGCAGGGCUUUGCCUAAGCACCACUACGAUAUUAUCGAGGUGGAUUAUGGUGGAGGGGGGCACGGCACAUGGCUAAGAGAUCCAAGGGAUCAAUUGUUGUAUCUCAAGGGGGUGCCUCCCUCCCCAUAUAUAAAGGAGUGGAGGAGGGGGAGGGGGCCGGCCACCCUUGGCGCGCCCCAUGAGGAGUCCUACUCCCACCGGGAGUAGGACUCCCCCCUUCCAUGUUGGAGUAGGAGAGGAGAGGGAAGGAGAGACAGGGGAAAGGAAAAGGGCGGCGCCCCCCCCCUCCUUGUCCAAUUCAGACUUGGGGGGAGGGGCGUGGCUGCCCCUUGGCCGCCUCUCCUCUUCCACCACUUGGGCCCAUAAGGCCCAAUAACCUCCGGGGGGGUUCCGGUAACCCCCCGGUACUUCGGUAUAUAUCCGAUAACCCCCGGAAUCAUUCCGUGUCCGAAUAUAGUCGUCCAAUAUAUCAAUCUUCAUGGCUCGACCAUUUUGAGACUCCUCGUCAUGUCCGUGAUCACAUCCGGGACUCCGAACUACCUUCGGUACAUCAAAAUACAUAAACUCAUAAUAUAACCGUCAUCAAAUUUUAAGCGUGCGGACCCUACGGGUUCGAGAACUAUGUAGACAUGACCGAGACACGUCUCCGGUCAAUAACCAAUAGCGGAACCUGGAUGCUUAUAUUGGCUCCCACAUAUUCUACGAAGAUCUUUAUCGGUCAAACCGCAUAACAACAUACGUUGUUCCCUUUGUCAUCGGUAUGUUACUUGCCCGAGAUUCGAUUGUCGGUAUCAUCAUACUUAGUUCAAUCUCGUUACCGGCAAGUCUCUUUACUCGUUCUGUAAUGCAUCAUCACGCAACUAACUCAUUACUCACAUUGCUUGCAAGGCUUAUAGUGAUGUGCAUUACCGACAUGGCCCAGAGAUACCUCUCCGACAAUCGGAGUGACAAAUCCUAAUCUCGAAAUAUGCCAACUCAACAAGUACCUUUAGAGACACCUGUAGAGCACCUUUAUAAUCACCCAGUUACAUUGUGAUGUUUGGUAGCACACAAAGUGUUCCUCCAGUAAACGGGAGUUGCAUAAUCUCAUAGUCAUAGGAACAUGUAUAAGUCAUGAAGAAAGCAAUAGCAGAAUACUAAACGAUCAAGUGCUAAGCUAACAGAAUGGGUCAAGUCAAUCACAUCAUUCUCUAAUGAUGUGAUCUCGUUAAUCAAAUGACAACUCAUGUCUAUGGCUAGGAAACUUAACCAUCUUUGAUUCAACAAGCUAGUCAAGUAGAGGCAUACUAGUGACACUUGUUUGUCUAUGUAUUCACACAUGUAUCAAGUUUCUGGUUAAUACAAUUCUAGCAUGAAUAAUAAACAUUUAUCAUGAAAUAAGGAAAAAAUAAUAACUUUAUUAUUGCCUCUAGGGCAUAUUUCCUUCAUGAGACACAUCUCCGGUCGAUAACCAAUAGCGUAACUUGGAUGCUCAUAUUGGCUCCUACAUAUUCUACGAAGAUCUUUAUCGGUCAAACCGCAUAACAACAUACGUUGUUCCCUUUGUCAUCGGUAUGUUACUUGCCCGAGAUUCGAUCGUCGGUAUCAUCAUACCUAGUUCAAUCUUGUUAUCGGCAACUCUUUACUCAUUCCGUAAUACUUCAUCCCGCAACUAACUCAUUAGUUACAAUGCUUGCAAGGCUUAUAGUGAUGAGUAUUACCGAGAGGGCCCAGAGAUACCUCUUCGAAACACGGAGUGACAAAUCCUAAUCUCGAUCUAUGCCAACCCAACUAACACCUUCGGAGACACCUGUAGAGCACCUUUAUGAUCACCCAUUUAUGUUGUGACAUUUUGUAGCACACAAAGUGUUCCUCCGGUAUUCUGGAGUUGCAUAAUCUCAUAGUCUGAGGAACAUGUAUAAGUCAUGAAGAAAGCAAUAGCAAUGAAACUGUAAUGAUCAUAAUGCUAAGCUAACGGAUGGGUCAUGUCCAUCACAUCAUUCUCCUAAUGAUGUGAUCACGUUAAUCAAAUGACAACACAUGUCUAUGGUUAGGAAACAUAACCAUCUUUGAUAAACGAGCUAGUCAAGUAGAGGCAUACUAGGGACAAUAUGUUUGGUCUAUGUAUUCACACAUGUACUAAGUUUCUGGUUAAUACAAUUCUAGCAUGAAUAAUAAACAUUUAUCAUGAAAUAAGGAAAUAAAUAAUAACUUUAUUAUUGCCUUUAGGGCAUAUUUCCUUCAGUGAUAGCAAUGAUUUUGUAGCAAGUGUAACAGUAGCAACAGUAGUAGUAACUUAGCAAGAACAAUAUAUGGAGAAUUCGUAGGCAUUGGAUCGGUGAAUUUGUCGGAUGAUAUUCCUCAUAUAACAGUCAUAACCUGGGCCGAUACAAAACUAGCUCCAGUUCAUAAAUAUAAUGUAGGCAUGUAUUCCGUAAAUAGUCAUACGUGCGUAUGGAAAGAACUUACAUGACAUCAUUUGUCCUACCCUCCCCUGGCAGCGAGGUCCAUAAGGAAACUAAGGGAUAGUAAGGCCUCCUUUUAAUAGAGAACUGAAACAAAGCAUUAGCACAUAGUGAAUACAUGAACUCCUCAAACUACGGUCCACACCGGAAAGUAUCCCAAUUACUGUCACACUGGGUUUUACGGGUCAUAACACGUAAUAGGUGAAUAUGACUUGCAAGAUCGGAUCUGAAAAUAGAUAUAAUGGUGAAAACAUAAACAGUUUAGAUCUAAAAUCAUGGCACCCAGGCCCAAAGUGACAAGCAUUAAGCAUGGAAAAGUCAUAACAACAUCAAUUUCAGAACAUAGUGGAUACUAGGGAUCAAGCCUAACAAAACUAACUCGAUUACAUGAUGAAUCUCAUCCAACUCCUCACCGACCAACGAGCCUAUGAAGGACUUACUCACUCCCGGUGGGGAGCAUCAUGGAAUUGGCGAUGGAUAAGGGUUGGUGAUGACAAAUACUAAAGAUUCCCCUCUCCGGAGCCCCAAACGGGCUCCAAAUCUGGCCUCCCGAUAAAGAACAGGAGGCGGCGGCGGCGGCUCCAUCUCGUGAAACAAAAUAAUUCUUUCUCAUUGGUUUUUCUCCGAAAAUAGGAUUUUAUAGCAUCGGAGAUAGUGUCUGCGGGGCCACCAGGUGGGCACAACCCACCUGGGGGCGCCCUGGUGAGUUCUGCUCACCUAGGGGGCCCCCUCCGGUGGUUCUUGGCUCCAGUAUUUUUCUUUUAUUGUAUAAAAAUUCUCCAAAAAGUUUUGUUCCAUUCCGAGAACUUUUAUUUCUGCACAAAAAACAACACCAUGGUAGUUCUACUCAAAACAAUGUCAGUCUGGAUUAGUUUCAUUCAAAUCAUGCAAAUUAGAGUCCAAAACAAGAGCAAAGUGUUAGGAAAAGUAGAUACGGCGGAUACGUAUCAAUCAUAUCCAGUUUAAGCGCACAAGACUAAUGUUUCUUUACCCUAUUUCUCUUCAUGAAAUGUAAGCACUCAUAUGCAGUAAUAAUGUUAUCAUUGAUCAGUCUACCUGGGACGAAGGCUGACCGUUCCUCGGAAAUAGUAUCCGGUAACACAAUUUUCAAACAGUUUGAGAUCACCUUAGAUGCAAUCUUGUAAGGGCCAAUUCCAGUUCUGCCCCUAACUCGAACCCACUACUCAGUUUUGCCCCUAAUUUUUAGGUAUGCUCAGUUUUGCCCCUCCGCCGUUAGUGUCACUUAUAGAAAUGCCCUUUUGCGUCGUUACCGUCCGGUCAAAGGACUUUGACCACCCAGAAAAAAAUAGCAAAAAAAAUCAAAAAAAUCUGAAAUUUUGUGGGAUCGAAGAUAGUCAUGUCCGCAAGGCGCGUGAAAAUUUGUGUGCCGUUCAGACACCCUGAGAGCUCGUGGCAAAGGAAAUCAUAAAUUUUGUACGCAUGUGAACAGUAAAUUCGAAAAAAUAGAAAAAAAAUCAAAAAAAUAUGAAAUUUUGGGGAACUGAAGAUACUUAGGUGCACAAGAUGUGUGCACAUUUUUGUUGUGUUUGGACAUCGUAUGAGCCCNNNNNNNNNNNNNNNNNNNNNNNNNNNNNNNNNNNNNNNNNNNNNNNNNNNNNNNNNNNNNNNNNNNNNNNNNNNNNNNNNNNNNNNNNNNNNNNNNNNNNNNNNNNNNNNNNNNNNNNNNNNNNNNNNNNNNNNNNNNNNNNNNNNNNNNNNNNNNNNNNNNNNNNNNNNNNNNNNNNNNNNNNNNNNNNNNNNNNNNNNNNNNNNNNNNNNNNNNNNNNNNNNNNNNNNNNNNNNNNNNNNNNNNNNNNNNNNNNNNNNNNNNNNNNNNNNNNNNNNNNNNNNNNNNNNNNNNNNNNNNNNNNNNNNNNNNNNNNNNNNNNNNNNNNNNNNNNNNNNNNNNNNNNNNNNNNNNNNNNNNNNNNNNNNNNNNNNNNNNNNNNNNNNNNNNNNNNNNNNNNNNNNNNNNNNNNNNNNNNNNNNNNNNNNNNNNNNNNNNNNNNNNNNNNNNNNNNNNNNNNNNNNNNNNNNNNNNNNNNNNNNNNNNNNNNNNNNNNNNNNNNNNNNNNNNNNNNNNNNNNNNNNNNNNNNNNNNNNNNNNNNNNNNNNNNNNNNNNNNNNNNNNNNNNNNNNNNNNNNNNNNNNNNNNNNNNNNNNNNNNNNNNNNNNNNNNNNNNNNNNNNNNNNNNNNNNNGUAUGAGCCCGUACGAGCUCGUAGGAGCUAAACUUUAUUUUUUUUCUCCGCGAGCUCCUACGAUGUCCAAACACAACAAAAAUGUGCACACAUCUUGUGCACUUAAGUAUCUUCAGUUCCCCAAAAUUUCAUAUUUUUUUGAUUUUUUUUCUAUUUUUUCGAAUUUAUUGUUCACAUGCGUACAAAAUUUAUGAUUUCCUUUGCCACGAGCUCUCAGGGUGUCCGAACGGCACACAAAUUUGCACGCGCCUUACGGACAUGACUAUCUUCGAUCCCACAAAAUUUCAGAUUUUUUUGAUUUUUUUUGCUAUUUUUUCCUGGGUGGUCAAAGUUCUUUGAUAACGUCGCAAAAGGGCAUUUCUAUAAGUGACACUAACGGCGGAGGGGCAAAACUGAGCAUACCUAAAAAUUAAGGGCAAAACUGAGUAGUGGGUUCGAAUUAAGGGCAUAGAUGUAAAUGUCCCAUCUUGUAAAUGACAUUGCACAAACUGAUAGGUCGAAACUGAGAUAAGUGUGUUGGACUAUUUACCUUAGGGAUCAAGAUAAGGAUGGCCUCACUGAUGCUUUCUGUUGUCUCCUUUCCUUCCACGAUCCUUAGGAUAGCCAAAGUGACAUCAUCCCCACAAACAUCCCAAUGACGUUGAAAAAGUGUGUCGGAAAGCCAUACGGACCAGGAGCUUUUGUGGGAAACAUUUAGAACAAUGUUGUUUUAACCACCUGUUGAGUGUACGGUGCAUUUAACAUUUCAUCCAUAUCUUGGGUUACUUUGCAUGGGACAGUUGAAAUGACUUUGUCCAUAUUUUGCACCCCUUCUGAAGUGUACAGAUUUUCAUAAAAAGCAGUUGUAAGGUUCUCCAUCUCCACUGUAUCUUCGGUCAUUUGCCCAUUCUCUCGCUGAAGCGCUUUAAGCUGGGUUUUCCUUCUUCUUCUACUGGCUCUAAGAUGAAAGACGUACGUAUUUUUGUCACCAUGCAUUAGCCACUCCAGUCUUGCACGUUGUCGCCAAAGGAUUUCUUCACAGUGAUAAAGUUCAACCCGAUUAUCCAUGAUUUUUAAUUCCUCAUGCAAUGGGGCAGAUAUUCCCGGGAUCGCCCGCAACUCCUAUAGCCGAUGUUGUAGUUUCGCAAUCUGUUGUCGCGCGUUCCCAAAGUGGGUGCGAUCCCACACUGAUAAAUCCCCUGCCACCUGCAACAGCUUCUGUCGUACUGCUACAACCGAAUCGCCUUGUCGUUGUUGAGCCCAUCCAGCGCUAUCACAUGUGCAUGCGUUGGGUCCCUUUCCCAAUAUAAUUCAUAUUUAAACUGUCUUGGACCGCGUGCGCAUGGAUGCACUUCAUUUAGGCUGGUUGUAAUUGGGAGUAUCAUAUACUAGUAUCAUGUAUAUGAUACUAGUGUAUGAUACUACUUCGAUAAUGCAUAGUAUCAUAAGUUAAUAUCUUACGUUGCCUUAUUAAUUGCCAUGCAUGACACAAAGUAAUACAACAUUUAAUAUGAUACGGUAUCAUGAUAUGAUACUACAUCCUCUCUUUCCUCAUUUAAUUGUGUGCCACAUCAUCCAAAAAGUCUAGUUGACAUGCAUGAUACCGCUUAUGAUACUCUCAUUAUGACCAGCCUUAUCCUUAGGAGCACUGGUACAUGAUCGGAUGUGGCAGCGUUUUUGUGUUGCACUACAACCAUUGGGAAGGCCAAGGACAAUGCGGAAUUUGCUAUGCACCUGUCCAGCCGGACGCGUGUAUAUGUCCCUCCGGCCACUCUCCGUUUAAAGGUCCAUUUGUUUCCUAUGUAGCCCAGAUCAGUAAGGCCACAAGUAUCCAAAGCAUCUCUAAAACCAUCCAUUUGCGCUUGGCUUCUAUUUCCCACACCAUCGUGUCCAUGUGCAUGCAAUACUUUGUUGAAGUCACCCAUGACCACCCAUGAUAGAUUAUUUGCUCCUACUAUUCCCCGCGGGAUAUCCCAUGUUUUAUACCUUUCAUUUACUUGUGCCUCACCAUACACAAAGGUGAUUCUUGUCUUGACACAUCAGCUAACUCAUCAGAAAUUAAAUCAAUAUGACACUCAGAAUAACCUUGAAUUUCAAGCUUCAUUUCAUUGUUUUAGAAAACACCCAAACCACAACUUCUACCUGAGGUAUUGACUGCAAAACUUUUUUGUACCCUAGUGUUUCUUUCAAAUUAUCUAAUUGAGAUCUCUCUAUUUCAGUUUCGAUGAUACAAGUGAUAGAGGGGGCAAGUUGCCUCGUGAGAUCACGAAGCUCACGAACUCCCGCUGGUUUGCCAGCCCGACGGCAGUUCCAGCAUAGCAGCCUCAUUGCGCUAGGCGCGACACCACUUGGGGGCCCGCCAAACGUGCAUCUUGAUUCUUUUGUAAGCUACUGUUCCUCACUAGGGGUUUUUCCACCGCUCACUGGUAAGGUUUUGCUCUCUUCUAUUCUUGUGUAGAUGACGGACUUGCAGGAACUCCUGGGGAUGGGAGUGCUAGCACUGUUUCCCCCUACUCAUUCACCUGUUGAGUGGUGCCUGGUGGCGUUGUUUGGGCUACCGGAGCAGCUCCCCUUUUCCUGUUUUUCUCAGCAUCUACCAUGGUUGCAUUAGCUCGGGGAUCUUCCACGUCGUCAAAACACUCACGGGAAUCAGCUCCUGCAUAACCGUCUCCUCCGUUUCGACCUCCUCUGCGACCACCCCGGCGGCCUCGACCUCCUCCAGGGCCACAAACCAGUCCUCAUAAACCAAAGAGGCUCUUAAUUCCUUAAAAACCAGUGCAAAGGGAGGAUUGAUUCCUGUACCAUUCUCUUUGUGAAGGUGCCCUAGCAUCCCACAUACCGUGCACCAAUCCGGCAACUUCUCAAAUCAAUCUUUUGCCUUGUAACGUAUAUGAUGACUCGGUCCUAUUUUUUUCUUCCAAACAAAUCUCACUUCAUACAUACAACCCUGCCUCGCGCUUCGGCCUGGUGCGGCCAGCCCCACCUAGGCCAGCUUGCCAGAUGGGCUGCCUGCCCGGACCGCUGCUCUACAGCGCUAGCCCAACAUGGGCAUUGCCCGGCCUGCACCAGCGCCCCGUCUGACCUACGCGUGGGCGAAUCCUAUUUGACGCUCGCGUGCGUCCGACUGCAGCCCUUUCGCUGAAGCGCGCGAGCGAGCAGCGCGAAACGGGCCAGCCCACAUUGAGCGUUGAAGCGCAAACCGGUUUUGGGAACCUUCUAGAGGGUUCCCUCAACCGGUUUUUUCUUUUUUUUUCCUUUUACUGGUUUUUCGCUUUUUUUCUGUUUCUUUUUUCUUUUUUUUGUUUCUGCUUCUUUUUCUAUAACUUUUAUUUUUCCUUUUACUUCCUUUUAUCCUUUUUAGGUUUUUUCAUUAUUAUUAGUUUUCAAAAAUGUUCAAAAUUCCAAAUUUGCUUCACAGUUUUGAAAAAAAAUCACAAUUCAACAAUUGUUCAACAUAUAUUACAAAAAUGUUGAACGUAUAAUUCAAAAUUGUUCAUGAUAUAUCACCAAAAUGUCCAAUGUCUAUUUAAAUAUUGUUCAGCUUAUAUCACAAAAAAGUUCAAUGUGUAGUUCAAAAAAUGUUCACCCUUUAUGAAUAAAAAAUGUUUAAUGUAUAUUUAAUAAAAUUUUCAGCGUAUAUCACAAAAAUAUGUGUAUUCUAAAAUUGUUCAGCAUAUAUCAAGAAGUUCGAGUGUAUUUAAAUUGUUCGUAGUAUUACAAAAAUGUUCAAUGGUCGAAAAGUUUCAGUUUUUUCUGGAUCUGCCAACCCGUGAGUUCAUAGAAGUUUGCGCGGCCCACUAACCACGAAGACUUGGCAGCUCAACUGGUUGAGAACGCUGACCUGCUAUCGCCUGGUUACGAGUUCGAUUCCUCGUGUGAUCUUUGUUUUCCUUUUAUUUCUAGUACCGUUUUUGCCAUGAUGCCAUCCAAUGGGCCGGCCCAUUUAGAUCGCGGCUGCGCGGAAGCUCGUCCUUUUGACGCUAGCGAGCGCCUACGCGUGGCCUGCUAUGCUACGCACGCCAACCGCCGGAAUUCCCUAUUAGACGCACGUUGCAUCAAAGUAUCGACCUUUCUCACAUAGACCUGGUGUUCGAGCGAUGACUUGGGCCGGCCCAUUAAAGCGUUGCAGCGAUUCUGGUUUUGGGAACCUUCUAGAGUUUCCUGGCCAGUUUUUCUAGUUUUGGGAACCUUCUAGAAGGUUCUUCGAACCGGGUUUUCUGUUUCUUUUUUAUUUUUAUUUUUUCUGUUUAUUUUUGUUCUUUGUUCUUUCUUUUUUCUUUACUUUUCCUUUUGCUGUUUAUUUUUUCUUUUUGUUUAUUUUUCCAUUUCUUCCAUUUUUUUUCUUUUUCAAGUUGAUAUUUGUUUUUUUAAUUAAUUUUUUAGAUUUUCAAAAAUGUUCACCUUUUAAAAUAUGUUCACAAAUUCAAAAAAUGUACAUGACUUUCAAAAAAUGUUCAUGUAUUUCAAAAAUUGUUCACAAACUAAGAAAAUGUUCAUAUUUCAAAAAAACUUCUGGAAUUGCAAAAAAAGUUUGAGGUUGCAAAAUUUAGUCUGAAAUUUCAAAUAUGUUCGCAUUUGAAAACAUGUUCAGGAAUUUUAAAAAAAAUCGUGGUUUCAAUUUUUUGUUAGAUAUUUCAUGAAGUCCCAUUUUCAAGUUUUGUUCACAAAUUCAAAAAAUUUACAGGACUUUCGAAAAAUGUUCAUGUAUUCCAAAAUUUGUUCACAAAUUUAGAAAAUGUUCAUAUUUCAAAAAAACUUCCGGAAUUGCGAAAAAUGUUCGUGGUUGCAAAAUUUGGUCUGAAAUUCAAAAAAAUGUGUGCGUUUGAAAACUUGUUCAGGAAUUUUAAAAAAUGUUCGUGGUUUCAAUUUUUUGUUAGAUAUUUCAUGAAGUUCCAUUUUCAACUUUUUGUUCAAAAAUUCAAAAAAUGUUCAAGGUUUCUAUUUUUUAUAGUUUCAUGAAAUGUUCCAUUUUUCAAAUCUUUGAUUAAAAACUGAACAAAAAAAUGCGUUUUAAAAUUUGUUCGUUACUUUAAAGAAUGGUUCUCGUUUUUCAAAAACAUUUUCCGCGGUUUCAAUUUUUUUGUUUGCAUAUGCAAAAAAAUGUUCCCGUCUACGAAAAUUUGUUCUAAAAUUAAAAAAUUGUUCGCAUUUUUUCAAAAUGCACACCUUCAGAAAAAAUGUGCACUUAUUUUUAAGAUGUUCCCCUCUACAGUAACUAAUUGUAGUUCAAUAGAGUAGACAUGCCCGGUUGUACGGUUGUGCUAAGUUAUUUCAGAUGCACACUAUUCUACUGCAAGCAAUGCUUGUCAGUUGGAGUGGCUGGGAGCACGCGUUCCUAAGUCAGUUGGAGUGGCUUGUCGGUCCGAACCCUGCCAUCACACCUACCUCUCUUUUUUGCUUUCGUUUCCUUACAACGGUAUAAUGCAAUGGGCCCGCACAGUCAGGCUGUUCCCUGUGCGCGGCGACGCCAGUUUGACGCAAAGAGCGUCCAAUAGGAGCUCCCUUUGCCGCCGUCUGCAUGUUACCGAUCCGAUCUCGACGAAAGUCGAACAUAUCAAGGAUUUUCGCUGUACACUGCACUGACGACGUCUCCAGAUCACUUCCGUCCACUGCGACCAUGUUGACAAUAAUCAUGACAUCGAAUCUUCCUUCUCUAGAUGAACGCCUCACACCUAGCUCUGAUAUCUCCUGUUAGAAUAAGACCGAGGCGCACAAUCAAUUAUCAAGGACCAAACAAUCACACCAACACGACAUCAAAAUUUGUUAACGACUUUCAGCGAUAUGUCUACAUCCCGGGGCAUGACUACGGGCACUCCUCCGCGUGACACCGACACAAUACUGUGACCGGCCACCCGGGCGCCGGCACACGCCGCGGGCUCCUCCUGUUUUGUUCGGUUCGGUUCUCUCCGCACGUGUCUGUGCAUGCUUUUCUCCCUUAAUUUUCUGACGAUGAUCGGCUCCGUGAGUGCGCGUGUCGACAUGCAGGGGUGGAGGGCGUGGCCAUGGAGGUCGACAAGGGAUCCAUGACUAUUGUCGGCCCGCUUCGAUGCCAAGAAGCUUAGGGACCGCGUCGCCUCGAAGACCAGGAAGAAGGUCUAGCUCGUCGGCGGCAAAGACAACAAGGGUGGCGGUGGCGGUGGUGGGGACAAGAACAAGUGCGCCGACGGCGAGGGCAAGCAGGUGCCUGAAAAGAAGGAGGAGGAGAAGGAGCAGAUUGACAAGUGCGGCGGCAAUGUCGAGAAGGGGAAGGCGGCAAGGACAACAAUAAGCCAGCCAUGGUUUGUCCUUGAAUCCUAUCUAUUCUCUCCAGUCGACUCGCAUCAUGUCCCGCUCUCAUCUGUUGCAGCGUUUUGCUGAUGAGAUUGUUCUGCUCGACUGAUCGUUCGAUUUGGUUCAUGGCAGCCGGUGAUCGUCACGGUGGUGCUCACCGCUGGCUUCCACUGCGCCGGCUGCAUGCACCGCGUCCGCUGCAAGCUCUUCAAGAUCAAAGAUUCAAAGGUAUCCGCAGCUCCUCCUCCACUUGCCUCGUCAUGCAUGCACGCUAGGUUCUCGACCGAAUUCCCCGUCCGUGCGCAUUCACAUCGCCGAGCACGCAAAUGCCAAGGGGAUCCAACCUGGUCCAGGGCGUGUUCGGCUCCCUCGUCUCGGCGACGGCUUCACCUGCGUGCUCGAGACCGGCUCCUCCUCCGCGGCCGCUGCUGGGGCCGCGUGGUAGCGCCGUGCAGGCGGCCUUCGCCAACGCCUCUGUCUCGUCACUCGCCGCGGGGGGCUCCCGAGCGUGCGGCAUGGUGUCUGCUUGGUGCUCUGCUCCAGCUCGGGCGCAGGCGUGCUCCCACAGAGCGAUCUCGGUCCCCACAGGCUCGCCGUCAGCGACUCACACGCAUGCGGGCUCCGCGGCGCAACCACACCGCAGUGUGCUGGAGCCGAGGACACCCUUUUAUUUCUCCCACUCCGGCAGCCAGCUGACAGGUGGGGCCUUGUGUGCACGGAUUUUUUGCAAAAUGUGAUGCCACGCCGUGGGACACAGUCAUCGCCGCGUGGCGAUUGACCGGUCAACCAUGUGCCAGUCAACGAAAAACGUACAAAAAAUCGUACAUGGACCGUCCUUUAACAAGUUUAGCGACCAUAUUUGAGGUAUUUUACCAUGCAAAAAAAUAUUUGUGUAUUUUGAAGUACAGGUAUUAAAGUGGGUUCGAGCGCAAGUUUAGGGAUCACAGAUGAAAUUUUGUCAUCCACAUUAUGCUGAAGAAAAAAGCUAAUCCACUUUGUACUGCCUGAAAAUAAAACUAAUUUACAGUAGAAUAUACUACUUACCUUGGCGACAUAUUUUUAUAGAAGAAACAACUUGAGUCCGAGACUUGAAUCUAGGUGGGCUCACUGCACACCCGCACAGCUUACCAACAGAGCGACACUACGUUUUCCAAACAUAGUUAUAAUAACUUGGAAAUUCAUCAGGGCUUCUCCGCACAAACAAAUAAUGACUUGGAAAUUCAGCAGGGUUUCAACAACAUAACUAACUUGGCAAUCCAGCAGAAGUUCAAGAAAUAAAAACCCGGGAGAUUCAGCAGACCACGACAGUACCAAGGGAAUGCCACUAGUGAGCAUCCGACAGAUUACUGCUGCACAGGAUUACAGCAGCAUACACACACAAACAAAUAACAAAACGGAGGAGAGGCGAAAGCAUCGCU